RNAcentral lists this long non-coding RNA (73237 nucleotides) under Linum usitatissimum (flax). RNAcentral describes it as "long non-coding RNA (LUSI_LNC007306)". The record is from RNAcentral. Lineage: Eukaryota; Viridiplantae; Streptophyta; Magnoliopsida; Malpighiales; Linaceae.
UUUUUUUUUGCUUUGUUAGAUAAUUAUAGCACUUGCAUUUUUAAAAAAUUCAUAAUAAAUGAUGAUAUAAUGGCUAAUUUAAUAAACUCAUUCACUCAAUGAGUAAUAACAUUGUUUUGUUCAUCAAAUAUUAAUUAGGAUAUAUAUAACAAAAUUAAUUUAAUCAUAUUCCAAACAUGACUUAAAACUUAACAUUAAAAUGGUAUUGAAAACAGAGGAAAAUGCGCAAGACAAAGACACGUUGGGAGUCGGAAAACCAUGCAGCAGCGUACUCAAUUAAGCGUUGACUCUGACAGGCCACUCGCCUAGCUAGAACAACAUUUAAAUACUCCGUUACUGCCAUCAGCCAGCAAAUUAUAAAAACCUCACCUCCUCAGAGUCUUAGUCGGGUUUGUCGGCCACAAUACUUUCACGGAUCACUACUGAAACUGAUGCGAUUCUCAAUGUUGACUAACUAAAAUAAACAGAUCGGAGAAAAUCAUAUACCUUGGUGUUCGAGUUCAUCGCCUCCUCCGCCUCCUCAUCUUUCCGACCAGUAUUAAUCCCAACUUCUUCGUAUAUCACAAACCCCAAAACCAUCACAAAUGCCGGAGGGAUCGCCAAUAAUACCAACGCCACCUACAUCCACCGUCAAUUACCGCCGUCGCCAAUUAAAUUAAAAACUAAGUAUGCUCUAAGCUAGUAAUUAACGCACCUGGGGUCCAAGCAGAUUAAGGAAAAUGCCACUGGAAGAAUACCCAAUCAAAGCACCGACUGACGAACAAAACCCACAAAGACUCUGCAUAUCAGCACUCAGAUGUUUCCUCUCUAUGCUAUUCCUCGCCACACAAGCAUCAAUCGUCACAUCCGCAAUCGCCAUCCCGGCCGUCACACCAACCAAGCAACUCAUCGCAGCAGCCACCGGCAUCCCCGCCCCCGUCAAACCCACCACCAGAGCGGAAACAGAGCCCAAAACCCCCGCCGCCACAAAGUACGGCCUCCGGUUGUACCCGCCGAUGGGGAAGACGUCGGUGAAGAGGCCCCACAGGGGCUUUAGAAUCCAAGGGAUGUAGUAGAACCCCAUGUAGAUCUGGAGCGUGGAAGGUUGGAGCUUCUGGACGUCUUUCCAGUAGUAGUCGGUGACGACUCUGAAGAAGGAGCCAGAGAAUCCUUGGCUGAGGCCGUAGACGAUGAAGAUCCCCAGGAUGAAUGUCGGGUUUAGAUUUGAUGAGAGCAUUUGUAGCCAUUGGAACGGCGAGAUUAGAAAGGAUCUGGUGAGAUUUGUAAUGUUGUUGUUUGGGGAUUUUGUUUGGUUUGUACGGCGUUCUUCUUGAUGCGGAGGGUUUUUGAUGAGCUGCUCGGUUUCCAGGGAGAGGGGAUUCGACGUCGACGCCAUUGCUGGAAUAGAUCAAUACUGUGUAGAGGAGGAAGAGGCUGUCUUCUACUCUUCUUCUUCUUCUUCUGUUGCUUCUACCAUUGGGUUGACUUCUUCAUGCAGCGUGUGCUAGGAUCAAACUGCAAUGUGGAUCAAUGACUUUUACCUCUGUUAUCCGGACUUAAUUAUUACUAAUUACAAAUAUGCGAUGCGACUUAUCAUUGAAUUUAUGUGUAGUAUAUGUUUUUUUUUAUUUGUAAUAACGAAAUAAUAUUAUAUUAUUAAGUUGAUAUGUAUUAUAUAAUGGAAAUAUUAUAAUAUAUAUAUUUGUAUUUGUAUUUGCUAUACAAAAAACUUAAUUUGCCUAGACAAAGCAAUACAAUACAAAUAGUUGUGUAAUCAUCGGUAGUUCAAAAGAAUUAUGAUUGUAUGGAGCAAAUGGUAGGUAGAAUAGUAAGUUUGAACGGGUAAGACGUUGAAUCGUUUUUUUUUGGGUAAAAUACUUAAAUUAUUUCAUUAAAGAUUUGGAGNNNNNNNNNNNNNNNNNNNNNNNNNNNNNAUUAAAAGCUCAUAACUCAUUAUUUUGUAUUAGCCAAACAACGUAAUUUUUAUACCUCAAAUGUUUUGCACCUCAAGAAUAACACACUUUCAAAUAUGCAUCAUUUUACUUCCAAAUACCUCAUUUACAAAAUAACUCAUUCAAACGAGAGACAUAAUACUGUGCUAAAAAUAGACUUCAGCAGCUUGCUGAAUUUGACUCUAACCGUCAAAUCUUUAACUUUUUAGCUCAUUUCAAUCUAAAGGCUCAUAUUUAAGUGGUUAGUUUGGGCAUUAAAAACAUUUUUUUUUCUUACUUUUUCUUUUAAAAUUAAUUUAUAUAGAAUUACUCAUUUUUUAAAGACAAAAAUAACGGGUGCUUCCACUACUCAAUAAGAAAAUAUUUUUUCCAAUUUAUUUUGAGCAUAACUUCGUCGUUCCAAAUCUAAUUUUGAUACUCUUAAUAUGAUUGAUAAUUAUGUAUAAAUUGCUAAUAACUAUCUAUAAAUUUAUAAUAACUAUAUUUUACUCUUGUUGUUAAUAACUACCUUAAAUUUGCUAAAUAACUACAUCUAACUCGAUAAUAAUUAUGUAAAACUUUAGCUAUAAGAUUAGGGUAAUCCUAUGAUAAGUAUUGUGGUUUUCCAAUAAGGACAUGUUGUCCAAUAGUUAGGUUUACUACUUUUGAAUUUUUGCAUUUUAUUUGGCUAUUUUUGUGUCGUUGAUCCCAUUGUCGUUGUUCGCGGACAGGACAGCUAUGAUUGAGGUUCUUGUAUUACAAAGACCCGAAAUUUAUACAGCUUCGCUUGUGAUGACUGUACCUCCGGUUGGACACUUAUACGACCUUUUGGUUCGUUUAAGAGGAAUGAAGUGAGGAUUUUAUAAAAAAACAAUUCAAAUUUUUUUUAAUAAAAGAAAAUUCUAUAUAAUAAUUCACUUUAAAAUGAUUCAUUAUAUACCAAACAGUACAUUAGGGUUUACAUUGUUACGACUUACGAGCCCAAAACUUACACGACCCCAGCGGAAUGUUUAUGACCCUUCAGGCCUUCACAAAAUUGUGUGCUCCCACUCCAAACGCUAGACGGAACAGCAGCCAAGCCAAAAGAGCGCCGGUCGCGACGAUCCUUAGUUAUUACGACCUGGUUUUCAAACUCAACUCCGCCGCCGCUGCUACCGUAAUCGCCGGAAAAUCCCCAACUUGGUGUUUCCCAUGGUAAAAUUUGUUUUUUUUCCCCAUCUAUCCUUGCCCUUCUCUUCUCCAUGUGAAGUUCGCGGUCAAUUCGUUAACUUUCCAACUCUCCUGACCAGCUUUCUCUGUAUCCUGGGAAAACAAAAACUAGGGUUUCUCUUCUCCUCGUCUCACCUCUCAACCGAGAAAUUAAUCGUGGGAAUCUUUUGAUUUUCUCAACCCAACUAGGAUAACCUUAGAGAACUGAUAAUGUUGCAUUUUUCUCUGGUUUACUGCUUAAAUGCUUUGAGAUGUUCCAUUACGGGUGGUUCUGUAUAUCUUUACAAUCACGCCCUAGUUAGUAGUUAGUGUUUCUUCAUCCUUUAUAGUCCACAUACUACCCUAAGGCUCAGACAUUGAUUCAUUUCAGCACACACUUACUUUGGAUUACGUAGCUAUUACUCUCUACUCUGACUGACAUUUAUGCUCUUAAAAUGUGUCAUGUCACAGGCUAAUAGGCACACGAUAAUUCUGAUGCAAGCCUCGCCGAACAGAGCAACGAGGACCUUCAUGGAUUAUGGGUCUGUAAGUCAGGCCAUGGAAGGUUGUCUUCCUGCUUAUAUCUAAACAUUUUCUGCGAGUGUUCGUGCUUUUGUUUCCUAUCACUGACGUGUGUUUUAUUUUCUUGAAAACUCUCAACUAAAUAUUAAUAUAUCAACGAAUGUUCAAGAUAUAACCACAAAUUGCUGCGUUAAGCUGUUUUCUUAAGGCAUUCCGUUGUGGUGGUUCAGAUGUUUGCUACAGCUCUCUCCCUUUAGAAUAUGCGUUAUUUUCAUUCACUUACUGACUCUCCACCUGCUUCCUGAAAUUCCAGGUAUUUGUGGAAUUUACGAAAGAAAGCUUAAGGAAAUAAAUCCAGCUGUGAGAAACAUCAGUUAUGACAUUGCCGAUCUGUACAAUUUCAUCGAUGGCCUUGCAGACAUGAGCGCAUUAGUGUACUUUCUCUAUCUCCUUCUCUUUUUGUCUUCCUCCACUAGUGUAUUGCCUGUUCAUUUCACGUUCUAAGUUCAAACUGAUUCUAUCUCAUGUCAAUGUCUGGUAGCUAGUGUGUAUAUAAAUAGAAAUGAAAUCUUCUCUUGUUCUUUCCCAUUUUUGGUUUAGAAGAAAAAAGAACUUUUUGGUUGGAUGGGUUCUGUGAUUAUGAGUUGUAAACAAGUCUCUUGUUAGGAUUCUUCGGAACUAAAUGUUUAGCUUUUAAGGGACAGUCUCACACGAAGAUUUUUGUGAAUUUUGUGGCUGUAGUUGGUUGUUGGUAUUUCAGCUAGAUGAUUAAGUAGCCACAACUCGAAGUUGAUAAGCCUUCGUAGAAGCUAAAACAUAAUGAUCUUGCAAACUCAAAAUUUUCUUAUUGAUUUGAUUUCCUAAAGGCCUAAACUGCACUGUAAGUACUUUUUAUUGAAAAGCUUGAAGCAAAGGAAUGUGAAUUAUCAAUUAUGUUUCUUUUGACAAUUGAGUUUUGUAAUGGAUAUAAUACAUGACAAGUGAACAUCUUCUAUUUCAGCUAAAUUAAGAACCCCUUGUUUGGGUAUAGAGGGACUUGAACCCUUAUGAUUUCUAGCAUAUUUCUAAGAUCUAUUGGAAACUGAAUAGUAAGACUCCUACUACCAGAAACAAAGGGAAUUGGAAAAAGAAACGAUCUCCUAAUUGCAUAGUGAAUCCAGAACCAAUGUAGAACUGAAAUUGACAGAAUGAAACCCCAUUCUCCAGAUCAAAUAACCAUGAAUUCCAACAACAAUUGUUCUCUCUUGCAUGGAAUGCAUCGUAUGUGGUGGUUGGUCUUUACAUCUGUAGUUUAAUCUCUACAAUAUGGUUUCAUCUUGUUUACUUGGAUACCAAAGAAGCUAGAGGCGAAGCGUUACACUGUUGUGCAUAUCACGUGCAUAUUUAGCGUUUAUCUGUCAUGAUGGGUUGACUGUAAUGGUUUGUAUUUGUGAUUGCAGUUACGAUCAAAGGAUUCAGGCUUAUCUGCCAUAUGACAGACAAUGGAUCAAACAGAAGACAUUUCAACACCUCAAAAUGUUGGCCGCACAAUGAGUGCUGACAUACGUGAUGAUGCGACUGGAGUUUGUGUUUUGCUGCCUGUAUUUUUUCAAAGUCUGUAGGGCCCGAAUUCAGCAGUGCACAUUAAGUAUAUACUAUUGCUACCAAAAACGAAACAAAUUAUUGUUUAGAAUGUGAGAACUGUGUUCCUUCUGCCAAUGGUUUUAGUGUAAGCCCUCUCAUUGUGCAUAAAUAGUUGACAGACUAUUUCAGCUCACUCACUGCAGACGUGAUUAAUCCAGUAUCUAUUGUGGGUUUUGGUAUUUAUGAGUUACCUACUGCUUUGUUGGUUUUCAUUUGAGAUGGAGGAAUUAGCACUCGUUUAGGAAAUCCUUCUGUGAGGUGAAUUGUUGGCUAUCAAAUUAAGAAAAGAUCUGCCAGAUUCGGUGCUUGCUUACUUCUUCUGGGUUUGACGAAAAACAUUAUAACAUUUUGAAUUUCUUUUUCUAUCUUCAUUCCAAAACACAAUUUAGUUCCACUGGCCUAAGUGGAAUAGCAUAGUUGAUAACAUUGUAUUGUAUGCUGGCGAUUAUGAGGUAUCAUAUGCAAAUGUAAUAAUUCCAUUGCAAUUUGCCCCACAUUAAUGAGAACCGUAAUCUUCUCAUCAAAUAGACUCUUAAAGCUGAUUCAUAGCCCAGGGUCGAACACCGAUGCGAUGGAGCAAGUAAAACUAGUACAAUCUGACCGUUGAAUGUUGAUGUAUCUGAACGUUUAGUUUCUCAAGUGGUAGUUACUAUUUAUUACUGAAAGCCUACUUCACUUCUUUACUCUGCAUUGUCCUCUGUUGCCUUUCUCAGUGGAGUUAGACGUAAAUCGCCCCGUCAAGCUCACCGGAAUAGAAAAUAAACGAGGUAGCUUAGUUUCUUAUAUCGCUGACUUACAAUGGUUCUUUAAUGUGUUUCCCUUUGUAGUCUCACAUUGACUUGUUAAUUAGGUGAUGUACUGAUGUUAUUAUUGUCUUUUUUCACUGUACAUCUUCUGAUGUUUGUUUUGAUGGAUGAUAUGUUGAAUGGAAAAUGAGAAGGAGUUGGUUACACCUUAUAAUACUGGUGUUGGAACCGUCGUUUUAUGUGGACGUACUGGUAACAGGAAGAGUGCUACCGGGAACACCAUUCUCGUCGAAAAGUGCUUCAAGUCUAUGGUCAGUUCAUCUGCUGUCACAACUUGCUACGAUUUGCAGACGACUCUUAUAGAAGAUGGUCAAAUCUUAAACGUCAUCGACACUCCUGGUAUAUUGUAACAAAGCUCUCUCUGUCUUGUUACGUACGCCUCAAAUGUUUCAAGAUGUUGAUCAUGCUUUGUUUCAAUGGGCAGCACUGCUUGGAAGUUGCGUUGAAUCUGAUUCUCUUGGCAAGGCAAUCGUAAAUAUGGCCAGAAACAAGAUCCCUGCAGUCAUUCUUGUGUUAUCAUUAAGCAAUCGCUUCACGGAAGAGGAAGAAGCAGCAAUUCGUUGCCUCCAGUGUUUGUUCGGACGAAAGAUAAUGUACUACACGAUUGUAGCGUUCACCGGUAGAGAUAAACUUGAGGAGGAGGGUAUUAAAACUUUGAAUGAGUAUUUAUUUGGGUCGCAACUGUCCUCGGUCGUUAAAGGUUAAUAAUCAAUGGUCCAACUGAUCUUUUCCUUACUGUAUAGGGAUUGUGUUUGUUUGUAUGGAUAAGAGUUGUAUGGAUCGAUGCCGGAAAUUCUAGCACUUUGCGACAAUCGGAUGCUGCUGUUUGAUAACCACACGAACGAUGAAGUCAAUAGAGUCGAACAGGUUAGGCAGCUAAUGACACUAGUAGACGGAAUCGCUGUGCAGAAUGGCGGGGAGUAAUAUCUGAAGUGAUGAAUCUGAAAGAGGAAAUGAAGAAUGAGCUUAUUGGAAUGAAUGAAAUGGUAGUAAUCUUCUGCUGUUAUAUACUUAUAUCAUAUGCUGUGUUGGUGCAAAGUAUGCAAGCUAACAAUCGUAUUGUGGUGAUGCACAACACAGAUUAGGAUGAAGCAGGAUACGACUGAGACGACGGCUUCGUAUCGAUACUGGUCAUUGCUUUAUUAUUACUCCUUAUGUUGUUCUUGGAGUCGGCUUCCUAUUGUGUCAACCAACGUUGCUAUACCUUUGGUUUAUAGGGUUGCUGCUUUUUAUGUAUUGUUGUCCAUCAACACAUUCAUUGUUCUCCAUCAAACUACUUGGGGUUCUAUUAUUUGCGUAUCCAGGAUCGAAAUAUGUAUUGAAUCGAAUUUGAAUAGAUUUGAAUCAAAAUUUGUGUAUAGAGUAAUCAAUGUAAGAAUACAUUUUUGUAACGAAAUACUAAGUUAAAAUAUACCAGAAAUCAUCUGUUAUGUUGUUUUUAGUAAUAGCAAGUUAUCUUUAAAGAUUGAAUAUUCCAUCCGCGAUUUCUCCCCCUUAACUAAGUAUAGUAGACACUAGUAUUGAGUCAAAAUUAUAAUUAUAUGUAUCGAGUACUGAACCGAAAUAAUAAAACACUAAGCCGAAUCUAAAAUUAUUUUGAGCCGAGUUCGACAUAAUCAUAAAUAUCUAUCUGAAUUCAUAAUUAGCCGAAAUUACCAAAACCCAUAGCUAUUCGGGCACCCUCUAUAUUUAUCCAUGGGUUCUGUUUAGAUAAGGUUUUAGGGUUGAAAGAUAUUUUCAUAUUUUCAAAUAGGGUAUGAGUAAUGAGUUGAGGGUAUCUAAACCCAUAUUCUAUUCAUCAAUUUUUUUAAGAAUAUUCUUCAUAAUCGUCCUGUUUAAUAUGAAUAUUAUCCUCUUUGAUCGAAUCAAAUAGACUAAUUAUUAAUGAAUAUUUUUAAUCGAAUUCAGCCAAUAUUAGGUUCACGAUGUGGGCAUAAAAGGUAAUAAAUCAAUAGUAAAAUAACUACUCAGUCCGAAUAAUUUAGACCCUUAGAUCGAAUGAAACCUAAGUCCCUCAAAUGUUGGGAUCAGUCAUCAGAGAACAAUUGGACUCCGUUAUACGGACCAACCUAAACCCGGAAUUUGCAUUCCUGAACCGGGAGCCUGCUGUACGCACCCACCUUCGCCGCCGACUCGCCGGCAUCGUUAUUCAACCGUAGGCGACUACUGCUACUUUCUGGCUGCUGCAACGCUUCAUUAAUAGCGGAGCUCCUCUUAUCAGCUACCCCACGCCACCGACGCCUGUUUAUGUCUCUAACAGACAACGACGAAUUGCUCUGUAAUUGAUCCUAUCAAGGUCAUCACUUUUUCUUCUGCUUUUCAAUUGACACGGAAUUUAACUCCUUUCGGACGCACUGUUGUCGGCUUAGCAUCCUUAGCUUGGGUUUGCUUCUAUGUGUUACAUUGGAUGUGGAACCGUUCCCGUUUAGGGUUCAUGUCAAUUUAUCUCUUUAGAUAAUUUGAUCUACUCUGGUUUGAUUGCCAUUUCUGUUUCGAGCUCAUGAUCGUUCUGAUAUGUAUCUGCUCUUUCAAUUCAUGCCUUUUGCUGGUGUAACGUUUAUGGAUAAUCCCGAAUUUCUUAGGUGAGCGCCAAUUGUACUGUUAACUUUGGCAGAGAUAGGGUUUUGUCUAGCCUCCGACUGACUCGUAGCCUAGAAGGAGGAGAACGCAUUCAUCCAUGCCCGUGUAUGCUAUGCUUGGCCUUACUGUUUAAAAAGUUGUUUCUUUUCUUGGGACUAGGACUGGAAGUGCAAGACAGUGCCCCAUUUUUUAUCCGCUGGACUAUGUCAUUCUUGACGUUUAUGAUGAUUCCUUGGUCAACCCUUAGGGCAGAAAAGACUCCCGUGGAUAUUGAUUUAAAUACUUAUGCAUGGGAUAUGCCAUGUCAGUUGCCUAAUUAGAUUGUCAUCGUAGAAAUUUCAUCAGGUGUUUAGGUUGUGCGUCCUUUUUGCAUGGUGCCGGGAGUGUCUGGCUUUCUUAAUCUUUGAAGUUUGACAAGUUCUUUGGAAUUGCCUGUAUAGAAGUUGAUGGAAGAUGAGUUCCUUCUCCAUUACUCGCAAGAAAACCCCCUUCCAGAAACAUAGGGAGGAAGAGGAAGCAAAGAAGAAGGUAUGCGUAUGUAGCAUCCCUUAAUCUGGGGCAUGUUUGCUCUUUGUUUAGUUAGCUAUAUUCAUGAAGAGUUCUCUCAUAUUUGGUCUGCUGUUACUAUGUGAAGAGGGCGGAAGACGAAACAGCUCGUUUAUAUGCCGAGUUUGUGGAGUCAUUCCAAGGAGAUACUGCUGGUUCAAAGGCAUUUGUCAGAGGUGGACUGAUCAAUCCUAAUGAGAAAGCGAAGGUUGAUUCUGAAGGUUAGUGUGCAAUUGAUCUUUCUGACUUUAGAAGUUCCACUUCACUGUUAUGUCUUGUAUGCCCAUUUGACAGUAAGGAUGCAUAAACUGUUUUUCUUCUAUUAUGGGAGCACAUUAUUAAAAAUCUGGGCAUUUUUAUUCAUUCCCGGAUGGCAGGUGAAAAGUCCAAAGAUGGGGUUUCUGUUCCAAAGAAGGGAAGUAGGUAAACUGAUGAUUUUUUACUGAUCACGCAUGUCAUGAUGCUAAAUUGCAAGGCAUUAUAAUCAGCAAUGCAAUCCUUUGGGUGCUCGAAAUCUAUAGGAUAUAUAACUUAGCGUUAUCGACUUUUAAAUAUCUGCAUCCUCCUUUUGUUGAGAGCUGUCUUUGGUUGGUUUACAUUUAUUGUUUCCGUAAUUCUUUCAGAAGGUUUACUAGUAGAAAAUGCAACAUUUUUGUCCAUAAUUGUAACAUCCAAUUUUUGCUAUAGUUUGUAUCAAGAAUUGUUGCUUUGUUUGUUGUGUCCUUGCGAUGCUCACUUUCUCCUGUGCAAUUCCAAGGAUACAUAUGAUUUUUCUGACAAAAAUAUAUACCUAAGCACAUUGAAAUCUACAUUCCACUUAAAGACAUUGUUCUUACUAAGUCAACACAGGAAGUUCGUACUUGUCCUAUGGCAUGGAAGUUUAUCUUUCAUAUCACCUCUGCAGGUAUGUCCCAUCCUUUUUACCACCUCCCAUGACAUCCAAAGGAAAAGAAUCCGAGAAGAAGGUCUGUAUUCUAAAAGCUGGUGGUUAAUACAUGCUGAUUCUUUGUGAAUGUACUUUAAACGUCCCAUAUACGUUGCAGAGGGAGGAUGAAAGACCAAAGGAAAGGGAAAAAGGGAAGACCAGAAAUAUUGAUCAUUUCAUGGAAGAGCUGAAGCAUGAACAUGAAUUGAGGGAGAGAAGGAAUCAGGAACGUGAGAAUUGGCGUGAUGGUUGUCCUAGUGAGAGUUCUCUUGUAAGUAUUACUUGUUCGCCCAAUUGGAAAACCAAUAUAUUUGUACAUUGCAUAUCUUCAAUCUUAUACUGCUGGCCGAAAUUGUCUGUACUAUUACUAAGUUACUAUCCUCCACAGGCGUCUAGUCGGUUUGAUGAACUACCUGAUGACUUUGAUCCAAGCGGAAGGCUUCCAGGAUCAUUUGAUGAUGGUGAUCCUCAAACUACCAAUCUUUAUGUGGGAAAUCUUUCACCUCAGGUAGCAUGCAUUGAGAAAUUUGUUGGAUGGGUAUUUCUUGUUCUUUGUAUUUUCUGUAGAAUACUUCGCUGAUCCAAUGUCAUUUUUACUAAUCUAGGUUGAUGAGAACUUUCUUCUGCGCACUUUUGGAAGAUUUGGGCCUAUUGCUAGUGUAAAGAUAAUGUGGCCUAGAACAGAUGAAGAACGUAGGCGACAAAGAAAUUGUGGAUUUGUAGCAUUCAUGAACAGAGCUGAGGCACAAGCAGCAAAAGAUGAAAUGCAAGGUUGAUCUAAAGUUUGUUUGUUGGAUCGUGGCUGAUAUGAUCAUAGAGGGAAAUAUUUUGUAGACAAAUACCAACGUUUCUCAUUUAUUGGCAUCAGGAUUAACCCUUAUUUCUUCUAUUAUUGUAUAUAAGAAUCGUCUCAUGGAAAUAUUUUGUAUAGGAGUGAUUGUUUACGAGUAUGAGUUGAAAAUGGGAUGGGGUAAAUCUGUGGCUCUCCCUUCACAAGCUCUGCCUGCUCCUCCUCCGGGUCAAAUGGCCAUCAGGAGCAAGGAGGUAUGUAACACAUUUUUUUGGAAGACUAAUAGAUAUGGUGCUUUCCAUUUUAGUUUUGCAAAACUUGGCUUUCUAUUAUGUGAAUGAUCCGCAAGUGCAUGUGUUUUUCAGCAAUUUAUGCAUAAUUUUGUUUCAACGCUUUUAGUCCUCUCGUAAAUAGUGGUCCUUGUUUGUUAUUUGUGUUCCCAUAGUGCUUGCAUCUUUGCCUACUCUUCUAGGGUGGGUUUAUUGAAUGAUGCAGCUUACUUCAUUUAUAUUUUUUGUCACGAAUGUACUUCUGUGUUUCAGGGUGCCACUGUUAUUCUCUCUGGUCCAUCUGGUCCACCUGUCACCGCCAUUCCUAAUCGGAAUUCUGAAUUGGUAAGUUUGCCAAAUUUUCAUUAUAGUGAUUACUGUAUGACUUGGAUCUCAUAACCCAACCCCAACAAGUUGCGUGAAUUGCCUGCAAUUGAUCGUCGUGUGUCUGGCUGCUCAAGUUUUAGUUUGGACAUGAAGUGGUUUUUAAUUAUAAGCCACUUCUUCUAGCAGUGUUGGUUUAAUUUUGUUAUGUUAUAUUACAGUAGUUAUUUGAUUGAAGUGUUAAGUGUCUCUUUCAUUUGAUAAGCCACUUCAAGCGAUCAAGACUUUCAUUAACAAUCUCAUUCUGGUGCUCAGGUUCUUACUCCAAAUGUUCCUGAUAUAACGGUUGUUCCACCUGAUGAUGAUCAUCUUCGUCAUGUGAUUGAUAUGAUGGCUCUAUACGUACUAGAUGGAGGGUGUGCUUUUGAACAAGCUAUCAUGGAAAGGGGUCGUGGGAAUUCCCUUUUUAACUUCCUAUUCGAGCUUGGCUCGAAGGACCAUACUUACUAUGUCUGGAGGGUCUAUUCAUUUGCACAGGUAUAUAUGAUAUUUGCUCCUAUAAUAUGUGGGUAACAUUACAUGAAAUUGACUAUUAUAAGUACUUAGUACGGUAAUUAUUUGUCUCAUGGUGCUCUCAUUAUGAAAUACAUUGAGAGAUUAUAAUCUGAUGCGUUCUACUUGCUUGGGUAUUGAGAACAUUCAAUUUUUUUGGAUUGCAGGGUGAUACUCUUCAAAGGUGGAGAACAGAGCCCUUUAUCAUGAUAACUGGCAGUGGGAGGUAUUUUUCAUGAAUCAAUUAUCUACAAUAACAAGGUUUCCCUAGGCACUUCUAUUAUACCUGCAUGGAAGUUACUUAAUUUUAUGUUUGAUGAUACCUAGAUGGAUACCGCCGCCUCUGCCAACCAUUAAAACUCUAGAGCAUGAAAAGGAUGCUGGUUCUACUUAUGCUGCAGGAAAAACCAGGGUUUAUACCUACAUUCUUUCUGCAUGAGAGGUUAAUUGUCUAUGGCUAACAAUUAAUUCCUAACCAUUUCCAUUUCAAUUUGCACAGCGACUUGAUCUAGAACGAACUCUAACUGACCCUCAGAGGGAUGAAUUUGAGGAUAUGCUGCGUGCACUGACACUAGAAAGAAAUCAGAUAAAGGAUGCCAUGGGUUUUGCAUUGGACAAUGCUGAUGCUGCUGGAGAGGUUAUGAUCUCAUCUUAUGUUUGCUUGAUCACUUCACAUAAAAUAUUAUGAACUGCAUAUUGUGUAUCAUUACACGAAUAUGCAUUAGUGCAUGAAUUUCAUUCAUGCAUUGGAUUGGAUUGUUCAAAAAACAAAAAGAUUGGCCUUUUCAAAUGACGUGGUUAUUAUUGAGCCUGUAUUAGAAGCAACCUCACAGAAGGACUUCCAGUCUUCUGACCUUUAUACUUAUCGAAGCUUAUAUAUCUUAAUGCCCCCUGUAGGUAGUGGAGGUCCUGACAGAAUCAUUGACCCUGAAAGAAACUCCUAUUCCGACAAAAGUUGCAAGGCUCAUGCUUGUAUCUGAUGUCCUUCACAAUAGCAGUGCUCCUGUAAAGAAUGCUUCUGCAUACCGGACCAAGUUUGAAGCUACUCUUCCUGAUAUAAUGGAGAGCUUUAAUGACUUGUACUGCCGUAUAACUGGGAGGAUCACUGCCGAGGCCCUCAAGGUUGGUUGAAGUGCCAAAUCUCCGGUCCUUGUUUUGCUUCACUACUUUAGCAUGAUUCAUCGAUCCCACAUCUUUGUUUCAUUAUUCAACAGGAACGAGUUCUUAAAGUUCUACAAGUAUGGUCAGAUUGGUUCCUGUUCUCAGAUGCAUAUGUGAAUGGACUUCGGGCGACUUUUCUGCGAUCUAGUAACUCUGGUGUGAUCCCUUUUCAUUCUUUAUGUGGUGACGCUCCUGAAAUAGAGAAGGAGGCUAGUUCCGAAGCAGUUGGUGAUGGAGUGAAGACCAACCAAGAUGCUGCACUAGCAAUGGGCAAAGGAGCAGCAACAAAGGAGCUGAUGAGUCUUCCUCUUGCCGAGCUGGAAAGACGUUGCAGACAUAAUGGGUUAUCUCUUGCUGGUGGUAGAGAAACAAUGGUUGCUAGAUUGCUCAGCCUGGAAGAGGCAGAAAGACAGAAGGGUUAUGAGUUGGACGUGGACGUAAAAAGUUCCCAAAGCCAGUCAACCUCUGGGUUUACAAUUGGUUAUAAAGAAACUGGUGUGGGUCUUCAAGCUGGUGGAUUCUCUGGAUGGGAUGGUUCUAGGACGGAUGGCAUACCCGUAUCUUCAACCCUUCAAAUACCUCAUCCACCGCCAAAAGCUUUCGCAAAGAGAGAGAAGAUGGACCCUGUCUUACCGGAAUCUAAAUGGGCUCGAGAUGAUGAUGAAAGUGAUGACGAGCAAAAGAGAAAUACUAGGGGUAUGGGGUUGAGUUACUCAUCUUCUGGAAGUGAAGAUGCUGGCAAUGAGCUGGGUAAGGCUGAUGAAGUUGAUUUCUCCAUGGACGGAAGUGUUUCAGCUCAACCUAGCAAUGGGUUAAACGAAGAGCAAAGGUACAGUUGGCAUGGUUGAUUUUCCGGUUUUGCUGUGUGCUUAAAAAGGACAUGCUUAACAGAUGUUGCAUUCUAUAGUAUCAAUGCACCUUACAUAAGUAUUUGCUGCUGCUACUGAUAUUGCAGACAGAAAUUGAGGCGUUUGGAGGUUUCUUUAAUAGAAUAUCGCGAGUCCCUUGAGGAAAGAGGGACAAAAAGCUCAGAGGAAAUUGAGAGGAAGGUGACCAUGCAACGGAAAAGGCUAGAAGCGGAAUAUGGUCUCUUGAAUACAAAUGAAGAUACAACUAAGAAGGGUAAUAGAAGUUAAUUUUGUCUUGUGAAUUCUUUUAGUGUAUGAUAACAGUAUGACAGAACUCAUAUGCUAAUCUGACUGUGUGCAGGUGACAGAGGGUGUGGGGAAAGGAGGGAGAGACGAGAGAGCAGCAGUAACCAAGAAUCAUCAUCAUCAUGGCCGAGGAAGCGACAAAAGAGCCAAGAAAGUGGAAGCGAGAGCCCUGGUUGGAGACCACUGAGGGAGAGGGAGAACGAGCAGGAGAGAGAGCGUGAAAGGCAUCGUAGAGAUGGUAGAGGUCGGGUAGAGGAGAUAGAAAGACGGGGCUGGCGUGAGAAAAGUGGGAGUAGAGACCGGGAUGAUCAUGAAAGAAGAGCUGGAAGCAGAGACAGGGAUGUGGAUAGGAGGAGACGAUAUAAAUAAAAUGAAGAGGAUUAAACUUGGGCAGGAAGUGCAAGUGGGAAAAUAAAAUUGUUGUCAGACUUGGGCAGGCUAGAGUGGGGUGGGUUAAAAUAUGGAUUGAAGAAGUCCAACAGAAGUUGUAACUUUGAGUUAAGCUAAAAGGAUUGCUGGGUUUUGGUGAUGGUAUUGUUUGUAUCAUUCAGUCAUGAUGUAUGAUAAUUGGCUCACUUGGCUCUUUGUUGGAAGAUAUAAGUAGAGAGCUCGUUCGUUGUUUAUUAUUCUAUUACUAGCUUGGAUAUACUCGAUAGUCAAUGCUGUUGAUCUUUAAGCCACAAUCCUAGAAUUCAUGUGUCCUGUAGGCUUGCUGAUUGGAUUGCAGUCUCAACUAAGAAUCUUGUUUUUCCUCAGAACUAGUUUUCUCAAGUUGUACUUAGGGGAACUUGGGACUUGCCUGUGUAUCGAAAUUUCAAAGUCUAAUUUAAUGAAGCAUACCUUUUUCGACAACAAAUAACGGUCUUUUGUUUUUGCAGCAUUGCUAGUCGUUGAAACUAAUCAGCUCUUGAACUAAAAGGACAUGAAAAGGAUGGUCAAACGAGCCAAGCUACAAAACAAUUUUUAAAGCAACCCAGCAAAAAACCUUGGGAAGGAAAAAAGAAGCCAGCAACUUUUCUUCUUACUGCAAUCUCAGUAACAAAGCCGGUAGUAGAAAUAACUUGCAAGAAAAUGAGAGCAUAGCAGAGAAUUCAAAUUGCUUCAGCAUAACAAAACCAGCUUCCAUAGCCAUCAUUGAGCGACAAUCGAUUUUGCAUAUCGUACAACAAGUUUCUUGACUCGGCACUAUAAAAAAUUUCAUCUUUCCCUAUAUUUCUUUCUCAUAGACUUUGGUGUACAACAAAAAUUUACCAACCAUAAAUCAGUUGUGAAAUUCUCAAGCCUCAAACAAUAGUGUGAUCUUCUUUCUUUCUAUUUUUCUUUCUAUUGGUUUGGUCACCUCAGUACUGCUGAAUGCUGAUGCUCACUGAGCCACAUCUGAAUAUAUUACAAUGUACAUUGAACAAAGCAUAUAUUCUUUCAGCCAAAAUCUUUUCAACUUCUUUUGCCAGCUCAUAGAGUAUGCAACUCUGAAGGAAUUUCAACACCCUAAGGGUGUCAUUCAUUGAUGAGUCUACUUACCCGUAUGAUCAUCAGUGCUACUAACCAAGGACACCAAUUCCAAGUUUCCAUUUUCAGCAUUCCCUGUUCUUUCUUUCACAUCCAUGAUCUCCGUUGGAAGUAUGGAAGCAUUUGGAUCACCAGCAGGGAUCAAAAAUAGCAACACAAGCGGAGCGAUUCUCAACACAUUCCUCAGGAUGAUGACAAGCCAGAGGUUGUCGAAAUUCGUUCGAGUGACGUUCAUCAGGUGCAAGAGGAUUCCACCUCCCCAUGAAGACGAGAGAGUGCCGAGAUUGUCAAUGGACAUAAGGAGAGCAAAGAAAGUUCCUUCAAUUCCAGGAGGGCAUAACUUGGAGCUCAACACAAGAAGGGGCAUCCAUUUCAGCCUCCCAAUCAUCUGAAUCACACUCUUAUCAAUCACAGCAAAGAAGUAAUCCGGCAUGCCAAAUUUCAAGUUCAAUCUCAGCACCAGAAUCAAAUCCAGCAUCCCAGCUAUACCAGACAGAAGUUGAGUCCAGAAAAGCAAGUUGCGGAAAGGAUGAUCCUUUAGAACAUUCUGGUAUAGUAUAGCCCCCAAGAGAGAUCCGAUCGAGGCUAUCGAGAAUAUGAAACCAACAGUUUCCUGCACACGGUUAGCCAUAUUCUGUCAGAUGAACAUCAUUUGGGAUUCAAGGAACAUGCUAGAUAUUGUCUAUGAUGAUCCAGGGAAGAACCUGAGAAAAAGAAGGACCAUCCUUCGAGUCGGUAUACCAGUAGAACAAGCCUUCAUCAAUAUUGACACUCAAAGCGAGAGAUAGGUACAUAUACAUGCAUGGUCUCCAUACUUCUGGGAAGUUCAGAGUGGUCCACAUUGCCUUCCCAGCUGCAAGAAACCUAUGGCUUACCUGAGAAAAAACAAAACCACGUUAGAUAACUGUUUAACAGGGAAGAAUGGCAAUAAUGCAACGAGCACAAGUCGAAAAAAGACAUCCAAAUACCUGUCUGUAACUGAAAUCAGUCAUGAAAGGCUCUUCAAGCAGAACUCCUACCGAUAACACAAGUCCAGCUGGGAUUGCUAACAGUCCGAAAACUCCCUAACAGGAUUGAAAAUUCCAACACCUGAAUUAAAAAAAAAUGCAGAACUGAACGAGAAAGGGAAAAAACAAUAAAAAAAGUAUGAACCUUUGGGCCAAGGAGAUGAACAAAUAUGCCACUGAAACCAAAUCCAACUAAAGCUCCAACGGAUGAACUCAAAGCACACAAGCUUUGCAUAUCAGCAGCAAGGGAAUGAUGGACAUUGCUCUGUUGCGCCACACAGGCAUCUACCGUUACAUCUGCUAUUGCAACACUAGCACUUCCAGUUAUCAAAAGCAAAAGAGCUAACGCUAAGUGCAUCUUCUCACCCAAUGACAACAGAAGCAUUGAAGCCAUGCCAAUCAGUCCUGGACAGCAAGUACAAGGACAAACUCAAAAAACAGGCCAAUCCGAAUGUAAAUGAAACAGAACAAGAGCAACAACCAUUGAGACGUGUGUUUUGUCUUAUUUACCAGCUAGAAUGAAGUAAGGGCGUCUUCGAUAGCCUAAGAUGGGGAUUACAUCAGUGAGGAGGCCCCAAAUAGGCUUGACAAGCCAAGGGAUUGAGAUGAGGCCUUGAUAAAUCUGGGACUCAGAAGGCUGCACCUUUUGAACAUCCUUCAUAUAAUACUCAGUUCCAACCCGAGAGAAAGCUCCUCCAAACCCUUGGCUGAUCCCAUAAACGAUCAAAACCCCAUAGACAAAGCUCCAGUGGGUCUCCUUAGCAAGCAUUUUAAACCAGUUCAGCGGAGUCCACAAGCAAUCACACCAACAACAAGAUCCCUUUACCUCCAUCACCUCACCACCACAUGCUUCCUCAUUCUCAUCCUCUACCAUACUUGAAAACUUUCUGUGCCUCUCCCAAAGUUGACUUUGAGGCAAUGAAACAAACACCUAGUCUACAACUCAAAUGUUGCCCAGAAAUGGGGCACCCUUGAAUCUUCCUAGAACAAGAUCGUUCAAUCUUUUAAGCAAAGAACUGAACUUUCCUCCAAUUGGGGCAGACAGAGACUUUGAUAGAUAACAUUCCAAGAUACCAAGAAAGUAAUAACGCUGUUCUGAAAGAUCAGAGAUUCCAAAUAUUUGGGAGCAGCCUGCCCUAUGUGUCUCCCUUCCAGGAAUACAAAACAACAAAAAGAUAAGAGAGAAGUUUAUCUGAUUCUAUCUUCAACAAGCAAGAGACUUGUUUCUCUUCCUUUCUUUCUCUCAAUGUGAGAGAUCCCCAAGGUGAAGAAGAUUUGUCAAUAGUUGACCAAUGAGAGGUGCGAGGUUGAGUAAUGAAAAAUCUUGUUCCCAAAGCUAUAUCUGCAGCUGCUGCUACUCCUUCUUUGUCACAGGCUGGCUGAUGAUUUCGACCAAUUUUGAGGGGCGGAUGCGGAUACCAUGCGAGGAGCUUCAGUAAGCUGCAUUACCCAAAAUGUGUGUUUCCAUGUUCAUCAUUCAGGAAUGGAUUCAAUCUGGUCAAUGGGUUAGUUGAGUUGGUCAAUUAGCUCAUUAGCUGGAACGGAGACAUUCCUGGACCGCUGAUAUUACCAUCCCGACACGUGGAAAAGAUCUGAUGGACUACCGAUAAAUUUGUUUGAUUUGGGCUCCCUCGGUUCAUUAUUCUGUCUUGUUUUGGUUAAUUGUUUUGUUGUAUUUUUCUAUAUAAAAAACAAACAAGUCUAAGUAGAAAAUGUAAUAAGGAGUCAGUUUGGUAUGGGGAAUGAAAAUGGAGGAAAUGUGGAAAUUGGGAAUUGAGGAUCAGAGAUUGUGUAAUUCCAAUUACAUUGUUUGGUAACGAGAUUUGUAAUUCAAAUGCAAUUCUCAGUUUGUUAGAAAUUUAUUGUGCAAUGACCAUGAUGUCCUUAUUUGAAAUCCAAUUUCAAGACUCGUCAUCUUCUAGUUAGCAAAAAUUCGUUUAAUACUCGUAUAAUACACAUAUACAUACUAUAUGCGUUUAGAACUUCCGUUCUCGUACUAUUGUAGAGCCGUUUAAUUUUAAAAUUUUAAUAUUUUCUAAUUGUUGCCAAAAUUUUAAACGUAUUGCUAUGUUGAAACAAUGUAUGAAACUAUGAACGUAUUAAUAUUGUACCAUACUCAUACCAUAUCUUACUAAAUAUAAAUGAGAAUAAAUCCGACACCUACCACUCCUUUUAUUUAUUAGGGAAGAAGAAUUAAUAUUUGUACAUAUCUACAACCAUAUAUUAUAAUAUGUCAUGGCUAAUCAUAUAGUUUUUCCAAAUAUGCAUUACAUAAUUGCAAUAAUAUAUUACAUGCUUUGGCUAAUCAAACCAAUAUCUCACUUUUAUUCCCCACCUCAACUGUUAUAGUCGUUAUAGCCGUAAAGGAAGUUGGGGGUAAUAAUGACAAUAUAUAUCCAUUGUUUACGAAAACUCAGAGUUUUGAAGAAAACAUCCUCAACACCAUGUAUUUGAAAAAGGCACAUUUGAGAGGAAAUGUGGGGCAGAGGAAAAGUGUUUUCGUAAAACACUGGCCAAUUAAAACUAAACAAACAAGUGUUUGUUUGUUACUCUGAGUUUUGACAAAAUCCUCAUAAUUUCCUCUAUACCAAACGAGGCCUAAAUAGAUAAAUAAAAUGAUAGGAUGUGAUUCUUUAACUUGGUAGCAGGUUGUUGAACUCUAGUGUGUAAUUUCGUUUUUUGUAUGCAAGCUCAAGCCAACAACUAACAUAGCCGUCAAUAUGAGAAGGAUGAAGUAAUUGUAGUUAUUAUUAGUUGUUGUUAUAUACCGUUUGUCUUUUAUUUUUUAUGAUUUGUAUUUUAGUAUAAAUGAAUCAAUAUAUUUUGUAUAAUGGAGGAAUUAAAAAUGGACGAAUCUAGACCAUAUAGGAUCUUCGAUUUCAAGGAAAAUUUUCAAUUGUCUGACUUUUUUAAACUCAUUCUGAAUUUAAAAUCAUGUUUGGGAUCUGGUCUUUCACCAUCCUAUUUUGUUAUUAAUUCUUCACAAAAUAAAACUAGACUACACCAACUAAAAAUGAAUUGAUAAAAAAUUGUUAACUUUGAAUUACACGUAGGGUUGGCAUUCGGGUACGACGGGUCCGGAUUCCUGUCACCCGAUCCCCGCCCAGCUACCCAUUCGAGUUUCUGAAAGUCCGGUCCCAAAGCCCAUACGGGCGCUACUUAGAACCCAGGCCCGGCCCGGCCGGAUCUUGGAGUCGAAGGCAUUCGAGUAAGAUGUUAGCACUCCUUUCAGCCAUAUGAGGAGCAGGAACAUAAACAAACCUAGUAAAACCAGCUGAAACCAAUUAAAACCCUAAAUCAAACAAAUAGAAAAUGAAAACAAUUACAGACCUGAACAAAUAGCUAUGAAGAGCCCAGUUGUUAUCGAUGUAAUGACCGGUAACAUCCAUGUAGCCGUUCUUUUGGUUAGAAGCUGACCAAAUGUCUAUAGUGAUAACCACCUUUCCCAAAUUAUGAUCAAUGAUAUGUUGAAUCUUCAUCUUUUCAUGCUCAUAUAGUUUCAGGAUCUCCUUCUUCAUGAUAUUCCGACAGGGUACGUGAAACAGAGGUUAUAGGCUGGUUACAAACCUUUUGAAGUAGAGUAGAUACUCAUGCAUCACAAUCGCCCUGCCAGUUGCUGCCUUGAAACUUCACUACUAAAACUGAUAGGAGACACCUCUUUUUUCCCUUUCACAUUUCAGUUAGCUCCAAACAUCUCCUGUAUGCAGGUGGAUGAAUGGUUCUUAAGGUGCGAAGAACCAUUGUUGGAAUGACCAACAAGGUAUUUCUUGCAACGCUUGCACUGAGCUUUCACUUCUCGUUUGUACCAGACCUUCACGAAAUCAACCAUAUGCCGCUUGUUUGUCUGCCAGGAACCAAUUUACCAUUAGCUCCAGGACCAACAGUAGGGCCAUUAUCAGCAACUCAAUUAUUAGCAGUUUCAACUUUUUGUUGGGGUGGAACUUGAUCUCCUUCUUUCGGUACAACAUUCAUAGCUUCCCCGUCCAUUCUACAACAACAAUCAUGAAUCAACGAAUAAGAAAACAUAAACAACAACAAUCAAUGAAAACAGAGCUACAAAAGUUUACCUUGUCAGUCGAAUAAGAGCCUAGGAUCUUCUGGUUAACAAUGAGCAAGCUGGAAGUGUAAUUCAAAAGAAUCAGAUAUUAGUAAUCCUAGAGAAAAUUAACAAAUUAUAAUCGGAACCCUAAAUUUUUAUGAUAGUGCGAUACGUACCAAAAGAUAGAUGAAAAGAUGAAGAUUGAGGAUUUGAAUCCACAUGCUUGUUCAUCGCCCCUUUUGAAGACUACAACAGUCGAUCUGAAUGUCAUUUUGAAAGUUGGAAUAGCAAAUUGAAAGCAGAAGUGCAGCUGUGCAGGUAGGAGUGAUUGAAGAUUGGAAUCGUUAGCUGCUAAAGGGGAUGGAAGAGUGGAAUUGUCGAUUCUGAAAAAUGGAAUGGAGAGCCUAUCUGGGAAUAGGAAAUUGGAGUGGAGAACUUCUCGAUUCUCGAUCAACAUCCUAAUUCUGAACCCUACAAUUACUACGGUCGGGUGUCCGGGGUGGAUAUGGGCUUCCCGAAACCCUACCCGGCCCCGAGCCUUCCGGGUACUGGAUCCACUCAAACCCGAAAACCAACCCGGCCAAACUGAGCUGGAUCCGGGCGGGUACCCCGGAUUUCCGGUUCCAAACGCCGACUCUAAUUACACGGUUAUUUUGAUAAAUCAUUGUCAAUGUCAUCAUAGAAGAACAAAAGGCAGUCGGUUCAGGUCCAACUCGGACUUUUUUCCCACCCGAGUUGACAGAGGUGGCGGCUCUUUGUUUACCGAGUUAUCAACAACGCACCGAACUCAACAAAUUAUGUUCGGUUGGGCUUUUAAUUAAUGAUUGGGCGUUUAUCGACAGCGAAGGCCCAGAUGGUCACUGGCGUUUCGGCCCAGAUGGUCAGUUUAGCAGAAUAAACGAGCAGUUGACAGCUGGAUACGAAACACGUGUUUUAACAAACAGGCCGUUGCGAAACGCGUUUUAUUCAGACCGUUGCCCCGAGCCUAGUUUCCAACAGGAAGAAGGAAACCUCGGAAAGGAAUUCUUACAAACAAUGUGAUGGUUUAGAUUAGGGCAACAAUCUGAUUUCACAGUUCAUACCAAAACCUAAUAAAUAAGAUAAAGCGACUCACGGCUCCUUCAAUUCCUAAUUUCAUCAUAUUCUCAGAUCAAUUACUUCAAUUACUCUCUCACUCUGUUUCUUCUUCUUCUUCUUCUUCUUCUUCUUCUUCACUCUGACAAUGACGGCUGUGGGGUGGAAACGUGGAGAUCUUCUGGGAAAGGGUGCUUUUGGAGAAGUAUUCGUUGCUAUACCCAACGACUCGACUCUUCCGCUCAUGGCAGUGAAAUCGGCGCCGGCGAAUGAAGCUUCCUCCCUCGUCUCGGAGUUCGACAUUCUUUCUAAGUUCCGAAACGUUCCGGGGAUAAUCCAGUGCCUCGGCGAAGACGUCUCCGAUGACGGAUUACCAAGCGGCGAGAUGACUUACAAUCUGUUUCUGGAGUACGCCGCCGAAGGGUCUCUCUCCGACAUAAUCGACUACUACGGCGCUACAGGAAUCCCGGAGAAGUACGUAAAGGUCUUCACUUUAUCCCUCUUGGAAGCUCUGUUUUCCGUCCACUCUGCCGGUUACACCCACUGCGAUAUCAAGCCGGAUAACGUCCUCGUCUUUCACGACGCGGAAGACGCCGGAAUGUGCCAUGUGAAGAUCGCUGAUUUUGGGCUGGCGAUGGAGACUCCGACUGAGAGCAGCGGGAAUUUCAGGGGGACGGUGAGGUACUUGCCGCCGGAGGUCAUCGUCUCCGGGAAAGUGUCGCCGGCGAUGGACAUCUGGGCGUUAGGGUGUACGGUGGUCGAGAUGCUGACCGGGAAGCUUCCGUUCUCGAAGUUGAAGGAUAAUAAGCAAGUGAUGGGGAGAAUCGCCAACGGAGGUCAGCCGGAGAUUCCUGACUGGCUGUCGGAAGAAGGAAAAGAUUUUUUGAGCAAGUGUUUUGUGAGGGGCUCAGCUUUCCGAUUGCCAGCGCAUAAGUUGCUCUCGCAUCCUUUCGCAACCGGUCGGAGUUUGGAGAAGCGGCAGAGAACAAUGCCUCAAGUGCAGCAGCAGUUGCCGAAGAAGCAGGAAUUGCAUCAGAUUUUUGAAAGAGCCUUGGCUGUUCUGCGAUGUUAGAUUUGGAUUUUUUUUUUAGAUCGGAUAGUCUGUCUGAUGAUUCUUUUGUUCUUGUUAGUGACUUCCAAAUGAGGAAGAAACUCAAGCUGACUGUAUAUUCUUUUUGUUGGUAAUGAACAAAAAUAGAUUCUUCCUUUUCCACUGAUUUUCCAGAACAGAUUCCCUCUUAAUGAUUCAUAGAAUCUUACUAUGCACAAGUCACUGUCUGUAAACUACAUUGGUUAAAAAACCUUUCACAACAAAUUUGGCCAACCAGGCUUAUCGCAAUAGCCUGCAAAAUCCACUGUUCUGGGACUUUUUCUCCACGAGUUAACUGGAAGAAAUUGACAAGUUUAGAAUAGGUUACAAGUCUCAACCAAUCAACCAGCCUCACUUAUGUCAAAAUUUGAAGGAUGGUGGCCUAGGGAAAACAAAGAGAAGAUGUGGGAGUUUUUAAGUUGCAGCACAGGAUAAGUGAGGGACAUAACUCCGCUGCCUAACCAAUUCAUGCAUAUCGUUGACAAUCUUCACAACUGCAUCUGGUCUAGCCAACUUGAGAGCAUUCUGGGACAUCACCUUAAGUUCCUCUUUCUUUGGACCAAACCAUUGAGCAACUAUGCUUGCUAUUUCUUUGGGCGAUUUUGAGAACUUCCCGCAUCCAUUCUGCACCACGUACGGUACAUUACCUACUUCCUGCAUUUGUCCACAACUCCCAAAUCAAGCAUCGGAAUACCAAAUCGAUGUGAAAGUUGAUUAGUAGCUGGCUUACUUGUCCUGCAAUGAAAUCAUUCAAAAUAAUCGGAAGGCCGCGUAUCAUCGCUUCUGCAAUUGUCCCCGGGCCAGCCUAUAGCAGAGAACUCGUGGUUAAACCUGAAAAGUUCCAUAUCAAUUUAUCGUAUCAACAAGUGUAAGCAACACAUACCUUGGUUAUGAUGCAAUCACAUGCACCCAUGCAUUCUUCCAUUUUAGUGACAAAACCCUUCACCUGUACAACGUGAAAUUGUGUAAAGUACAAACCUUUUUUGUCUUUUUAGUGUUACACAUCAAUGAAGACACUGCGAGCUGAGCUUAGAAACACAUUCAGGUGCAAUUGACAUGAUAUACGAACAAAUUCCCUAAAUGAAACGCAUUGUUACCUGGACAGGAAUCUUCCAAUCGAUUAAUGCCAAUCUAUUAGCAAGCUUUUUAUUGCGGCCACAUAUGACGAGGACUUGGCCAGUUGGUUGUCCAAGGUCCUCGUCAUAUAAAGAAUCACCAAGUGCUCGUGCAGUUGCCUCAAUGGGUCCCAUCCCUUCUCCGCCCCCCAUCAAGAGAACAGCAGGAAGGUCUGCAUCCAUUCCCAGUUCCCUCCUUAGUUCCACCUUGAAUGUAAAAGGAACAAAUAACACACUACAUUUUAGAUAAAAAUGAGCUUUCACAAAAUCUCAUAAGAUUACCUCCAGUUUUUUCUGACUGAGAGACCACUAUAGUUAUAUACCAAUGCAAUAUGAUUCUUGUUUGACGAAAUUUUGUAUUAGGCAUGCAUGCACAUGUUCCCAUCAGUUGAAUCAAGCUUCAUUAAGUUCAAUCCGAUAGAAUUUGUGAUUUAUGAGAACGGAUAGAUUCCGGCAAGUGUUGCAUGCAAGAAUCAGCAAAGACUAAGCUCUACAGCAAAAUGAACGUAUAUAAAUCGGGAAGGGUGUCGAAACAAACACAAUAAAUUUCAAGUGUUCAUCAUCAAAGUGGCAACCUACCUUUGGUAGAACAGGUUUAACAAAGGAAGGUCGAACAGGAAGACCAAAGAUCUUAAUUUGGGCAGGCUCCAGCCCAGCUUUCAAAGCUCUCUUAGCUACAUCUGGCGAUGGACAAUAACAUCUUGUAACAAGCUUAUGGAACCUAAAACAAAUAAAAAACCAAGAAGAUAUGAAUGAAACUUGUACACAAUGUCAAAGAGUGUCAGGUCACAAAAUAUACAAGAGAAAAGGUCUAACCAUGUUGGAUGGCAAGUACUAAGAUCUGUAACUACUGUAGUAAAUACUAUCUUCCUUAGAAGACCUUUUGCCCGCAAUAUACGAAGAGGAACAUGCUGCAUCAGUGGGUGAACACUAAUGAUAAUGUCAGGCUUGUACUUCAUUAACCCUUUGGCAACUUCCCUGCAGUUAAAAGGAAGAAAAUAAUCUUAUAAAUAUGGUUUAUUAUGCUAUAGAUAUAGCAUCAAAACUCCACAGAAGUUACGUAUGUAACUAGUUCUGGAAAGGGAAAUCUCAAAUCUUAAUUGAUUUAAUAAAUGAUAUGUAUUCUAACAAAAGUGGUUUAGGCUUUAGUACAAGUGCACUCAUGGAAAUGCUAAAGGAAUACACAACCAAAAGAAGUCCCCAACUCAAGCCAACCAACACCGAUUCAACCAACAAUUUAGGUUAAACCAAAGAUCUAAAAUUUCUAACACAUUUGUCGUCUGAAAGAAUAAACUCUUCAAAGCCUAAAUGGACACCGUGUACAUAAAAAAUCUUAGUUAUAUCAAGGUGAUAGCCAAGUAUCAAAGAUACACAAACGAAAGGAAUGUAACCACAAGGGAAUCAGCCCUUUUUAAUGGUUCAAAUCAGUAUGUUCAUGCUUUUAAGCUGUUUCACAAGAACAUCUUUAGCAGCAGAUUAUCUGUACAGAGGCAUUGAAAGGCUUACACGCAGAGCAACUUAGCUGAUGAAACAUCCACAAAAAAACAAUGAUUUGGACAUAAACUAUCAUAAUGAUAAUUGUCUGCAACAAAAAGAAAUUAUUCAUUUAGUUUGGCACUGAAGAAAAGGAGAUCAAGGUCUUACCGAGCUAUAAAUGUUGAAGUGGCAGCGAAAUUUGACUGAUGAAUUAGCCGUGGUGCAGUUCCAUAGUAUGUCAGUUUCCACAAUGUACCGUGUUUAACCAAAAAAUUAUAACUCCUAGGCAGUUGGUUAAACGGCCACGGUGUGUGCUCUGACCACAGAUCAGUAACGAACACCUGAAAUGCAUACUCUUAAACACAGAAAAAAGAUAAACCAGCGGUCCAUAACUGCGCGCUCAAACAGAAAUCUUUCCCCAGCUGGUAAUAGAAAGAUGUGAAAUUGGAGACAAGGACCGAAAUUCAAUUCAUCAUAAGAUAAUCUACACAAUCAAGUAAUCAGAGGCAAUUCAUUGCGUACAUCUGCAGUAACUAGCAAGCUGUAAUUCUACUUCUCCUCACUAGUUAAUCAUCAUCAGGGUCAUGGGAGAUUACCUGAUAAUCAUCACCAAAUUGUUCACUGAAGGCUUGCUUGAUAGCCUCAGCGGAAGCUCUAUGGCCACCACCAGUGUCACUCAUCAAAAUCAGAACUUUUUUGGGACCUUCAAUCUCAACACCAUUUAAAGGCAGCCCAUCAUCCGCCAAAACAUCACCACCCCCAUCGCUCAACCCGUUGCUGUUAGUAGUAGCGGAAUCCGCUGGACCAACCCGAAGAGAAGCGAAGCCGAUAGGGAUUCUAGCGCAGUGAGUCCUAAUAAACCUAUUGAACUCAUUCCAAGCCGUCCUGUAACUCGAACUGGCCCCUCCUCCCAGUCUCAAGGAAGCGGCUACCCUGCUCCUACUGCUGCUGCUGCUAAUGAUCUUCUUUCUAUCAAAGUACAAAGAAUUGGAGCGAAAAGAACAUGACCCAUUAGAAUUUGCGGCGGGGUCGAACGCAAAACGACCGAAUCGAGCUACCAAAUCGGAAACGGGGGCGGAAUCCUGAGCUACCGCCGAUGACUGCUGCAUUUCGCGAGUCUUCUAGUUUGGAUUAGCUGAUCAAAUGCAUAGUGACUGAGCCUUUAAAGGUGGCAGGAGUAAGAACAGGUGGUAAUAGCCUAUAAGCUGUUCGAGGCAGGGGUUUAGGGAGUCGGAAGUGUUUAGGAAGUAGGAAAUCCAGAAGCUUUGUUUCUGACCACAGAAAAUUGAAUUUUGGUUUUUGGGGAUUUCUUGGAGUGGAGAGUGGAAUUAUUCUUUGGGAGUCACGACCAACCAACAAGGCUGUGCGGCGGUUCUUUGCGUUGGCUUUGUUUAAGAAUGAAGAUACUGCUGGGCUCCAUCCCCAAUUCUUGGCCACUCCACUGGUAAGUUUCGUUGUAUUGGUUUUGAUUUUUCAAGCACGGAUUGGAAACGUAUUAUCGGAUUCGGAUAUUCCACAUGGCCUACUGUCCCAAUUCAAGGUCUUCUAUGGUCACAUCAUAUACUGGAAGGUAUAUCCCCACCCAAAAAAAGACAGUAUUGGUUUGAUUUAUUGUCUUUGAUUCUUUGAAACCAAAGUAGUGAUAUCGUCGGAGUCAAUAUGAGAUCGAAAAAUGAUCUAAAAUUAUAGUCGUAGAAUCGAAUUGUAAAAUCGUAAAAUUUUAUGACUCUUAAAUAAUGGAGCGGCUAAACAUUGCCCUGGUUUUUGAAAAAAAUCGUCUUAUAAUUCAAAUCUUUCACGUGUAAUUACGCGAAUGCCCUUGAUCGAGUUAUAACCACCAAUACACGACCACCACCGCCGAUACACCCCACCACCACCACAGAUACACCCCAUCACCACCGCUGUCGUCGAGUUUCAAAUAUGCCACCGGCCACCGCCGCCGCCAAACCCCACCAACACUACUUUCGUACAAAGCUCACCUCCCCUCUUCAUCCCCAUCGUCGUCGGAGAACAGCCGGACCGUCACCGACGAGCCGUUGGACCGCCCCUACCGAUCGUCGUUGUACCACCACCACCAUAAACCAGCAGUCGGACUUGGGCGACUGGUUCUCAAACCAGCAAUCCGAUUUAGGCGGCUGGUUUUUAAACCAAUAGUCCGAUUUGGACGGCCGAUUCUCAAACUAGCAGUCCGAUUUGGGCUGCCGGUUCUCAAACUAGCAGUCCGAUUUAGAUGGCUGGGCCAAUUUUUUUUUCAUUUUAAGUAAUAAUUAUAUGAUUAAUUUAAUUAAUUGAUUAUAAUUUAUUUGAUUGCGGUAAAUACUAGUUAUGAAUAGUUACAUUAUACUUAGUUUUUUUAGAUUAGUUGUAUAUGUAAUAAUUAUGUGAUUAAUUUAAUUAAUAGAUUAUUUCUAUUAUUAGUAUCUAAUUAAUUAUAUGACUAGGUUAAGUUUUGUAAUUAAUUUUAUGAUUUUUAUUAUUCAUACAUUUUCCAUUUUCACAUACUAAUAUAAUUUUAUCCAUUAUUUUAGUUGUCAAACAUUUUAGUGAACUGUAUUUGGUGAACGAAUAAGUUGAACAUAUUAGAUCAACUGAUAAAUUUUGUUAUACUAUGUGCAGAAAAUUCUUGUCGAUAGUGAUGAAAAUGUUGGAGUAGACGGUGAUGACGAGGAAGGGGAAAUUGUAUUUGCACUCAAUGAUUCCUGGUACUAACUAGUUCUAGUGGCAAACCCUAAAUCCUAAAUCAUAAACCCAGACCCUAAACGCCAAACCAUAAAUCCUAAAUUCUAAACCCAUAACCUUAAACCCUAAACCCUAAACUCUAAAUUCUAAACCCAUAACCUUAAACCCUAAACCCUAAACUCUAAAUUCUAAACCCAUAACCUUAAACCCUAAACCCUAAACUCUAAAUUCUAAACCCAUAACCUUAAACCCUAAACCCUAAACUCUAAAUUCUAAACCCAUAACCUUAAACCCUAAACCCUAAACUCUAAAUUCUAAACCCAUAACCUUAGGUUUAGGGUUAUGAGUUUAGGGUUAGGAUUUAUGAUUUAUUGUUUAGGGUCUAUGGUUUAGGAUUUAGAGUUUAGCUAGGCUUAGAAUUUAAGGUUUGCUACACUUGAACUAGUUUGUAUCUGGAACCAUUCGAUGCAAAUAAAAUUGAGCGAUACAAUUGAGUGUAAUCUAUAAUGCCUUCCUCGUCAUCGUGGUCUACUCUAGCAUUUUCAUCACUAACUACAAUACUUUUCUAAACAUAGUAUAACAAAAAUCUAUCGAUUGGUCUAAUAUGGUCAACUUAUUUGUUCACAANNNNNNNNNNNNNNNNNNNNNNNNNNNNNNNNNNNNNNNNNNNNNNNNNNNNNNNNNNNNNNNNNNNNNNNNNNNNNNNNNNNNNNNNNNNNNNNNNNNNNNNNNNNNNNNNNNNNNNNNNNNNNNNNNNNNNNNNNNNNNNNNNNNNNNNNNNNNNNNNNNNNNNNNNGUUGUAUAAAAAAAUCAAUAAAUAACUAAAAUAAUUUAUUAGUUAUCAACUAAAUGUAUAAGUUAAUUAGAUAAUGAUAUUACUAUAGAUGAUAAUUGUUUAUGUUCUUUUGUUUAGAGAUCAAUGUUUGAAUCCCACAAACAACAGUUUUUAAAAUAAAAUUCUGUAAACCGUCCAAAAUACAUAAAAUAGCUAAAUAUUAAUUAAAUUCAUUAUUCAAACUCAAAUUAAACACGAUAAUCAACCUGAGCGAUUUGUAUUUUUAUCAACACAUCAUCUCCACAAAUUUUUUAUUUUAAUAAAUCUACCAUUUCAAAUACAAAUAGAGAAUAACAACUUGCACUACAUCAAGUGAAACCAAUUCAUAAGUCUUAUGAAAGAGUUAAUAAAGUUGUCACUUAUUUAUCACCAAUAGACGUGAUUUUAAAUCGUGUUAGGCUUCGAUUUUUGUAUACCUGGUCACCCCAUCAAUUUGAGCGGAUGUUUAUGUAUUGUAUAUUGUGUAUAUAGUGCCCCAACUCGGUUCGGUGGUGUUGUGGUUAGCCGAACGAGUCUUCCUCUCAUUUUCCUUUGUAUAGCUUAAUCAUGGCUUCUGUGUUGUUUAAGCUAUUCAAUUGGAACUCACAAACAAAUAUCCUAGUCGACGAUUCUCGUCGGAAACCAUGUAAAUCCAUCUUUUUUAUUUCGUUGAAUGACAUGACAUUGUGAAUUGUAAUGAACAUAGAAGGAAAUAUUGUUACGUUACAUCAAGCAAAAUAAGAUGACUGAUACGUUAGAAACAAAAGUUAAGUGGCGACACUAUCAAAUAGCUCAAAGUUAGGUGAUCGACCAUUCAUUUUACAUAAUUGGGCCAGUUUUUUUAUUCCAUUCGGGUCUCGGGAGAAGAAGAAAGCCAGCAAAUAAUCCCAGUGAGCUCCCAUUGUUUUCUCUUUCGUCUCCGACUCUGUUUCUCUCUGACUCUCCUCCGCCACAAUGACGGCGGCCGCCAAGCACCACCGCAGCCAACUACCGUCUACCUCCAAACAACCCCGCAAUAAUCCCAACCCCAGCACCGGCGCCGUCGCUCUUCCCGCACCUCCUCAAACCACAAACCCCAACCCUACCUCCUCUGCCACCGCCGCCGUCACCUCGCCGAUCACUCUCUUCGAUAGAAACCACCCACUCUCCCAUGCCACUCUCCUCACCCGGCACGAAUUGCUGAAGCGUAGGUCUCACCAUCUGAAACAGCUCCUGCAAUGCUACAAGGACCACUACUGGGCUCUGAUGGAGGAGGUCAAGGUCCAGCACCGAGAGUACUACUGGAAGUACGGCGUCAGUCCUAUCAAAGACGAUCGGAAGCAGCAGGAUCCGGGGGAGAACGGCAACAUUGCGGAGGUUAUGGACGAGAGUACCAAUUUCGGGAGUGGCGUCGGAGGCAAUUUGCCUUGGAACUACAAUAAUAAUAGUAAUUCGAGCAAAGGGGAAAUUGAAUUGAAGAAUAGUCAGAGCAGUAGGUGUGAGGCAAAUGGUUGUAAUUUGAAGGCCAUGGCUUUGAGUAGCUACUGUCACCCUCAUAUACUCUUCGAUACCAAGCAGAAGCUCUACAAGGCCUGCACAUUUGUCAUCAGGAGGUUUGCCAUAUAUUACUUUCUGUUCUUUUUCUUGGUAUUUUCUGGUCUGCUCUUUUAGUUAUGUUCUUGUUGCUUGUGUUCAAAGCGAGGUUCUUGUUGAGGACUGUUUGUCUGUUUGUACCCACGUGAAUUGUUUUGAUGCUGAAUUGACAAGCAUCCUUUGGAUUGGAUUAAGCUUUGCAUAUGACUGAUGAUUUGCUAGGUGAACUGUUUGAUUAGUUGAUAGCGUUUUUUGUAUUAGGUAUUCUCCAAUUCAGUCAUGGUAUGGUACUAGUUCAUGCAUCUACUAUGCUUUUGACUGGUUUUGUGAAUCCACUUGGCUGUACUUAUAUCGGAACUUUGUGGACCUUGUCUCUUUCCAACAGAGCUGUUCAGUGAGAUUUUGAACUAAUUUGUUGUUGUCAUUCUCUGUCUCCCCUUGUUUAUCACGAUCUAUAUUACUUGUAUAACAAUUAGCAUGGAAUACAAACUUAAGUUCUGAUAGUCUUUAGAUAUGGACUUUAUAUAGGGAAAAAUAGAUGCAUAUGUGUGUUGGAUAUGCUUGGCGAAUGCUUGAGUCAGUGAUUGCCAUAGUGUCAAGGUGUCAAGUGGUCAUCUACUUGCGAAGAUAAAUCUGUGUCAAGCAGCAAUCUUCUGGGAAUGAUAAAUCUAUCUGAUAGCAAGAAUGUAUUAACCAGGAGCAACUAACUUCGAAGCCUCAGAGUAUUUUUCAUGUUUACAGUUUCUUAACUUAUGUGUAUGUGAAGAUCUGUCAUGUUUACCGUUUCUUAACUUAUGUCUAUGUAAAAAUAUUGGUAAGAGCUCGAAUUGGACAAAGAUGCAAAUGAUUUAUUAAUCAUUAGUGGAAGCCUUAAACUACUAACAUAGAUGUUGAUGGAUAUUUCAUACAGCUAGCUCCUGCUGGAAUCUGUGUAUAAUAAACUAUAGUUUAACCCCUGGAUGUCUAUAUUUACCUUACGCCUUGAAUCUUGCUUUACAAGUUUUCCAGCCUUGGACAAAAAAUAGAUGACUACAUAAUCUGGAUGUGUAACUAACUUAAUCAUUAAAGAAAAUUAAGAGAUAUCCAAUCGAGUUUGGUUAGAGUGAGAAGUAGUCGGUUCAGUCGUCUUAUUGUUAUGGACCGGUAGAGUUCUCUGCUGCAACUUUUGUGUCUAGCAUUAGGAUUCAUGUGUUGUGGCCUCUGGGUACUUGUUUGAAUUAAAACAAUUCAGUUUUUGUUAUGAAUCAUUGGUAGUUGUCUGGUUCACAUCUUGGGGUCUACCAUUAGUUUAUUUUACCAUUUUAUUUGAAAACCUUGUCAUUAGUGAAAAUAUUUUGUGCAGCACUAACUGAAUUUAUCUUUCUACCCUCAGUGCUUCGGCAGGACCAAUAACCUGUGGGAAGCCUAUACUGCAAACAACCAUUCCUUGUCUGUGUACCGCCCACUUCCAGAAGGCUCAGCAGAAUGUGACUCGUGCAUUGAAGAAAGCCGGUCUUAACGUUGCUGCAUCAAGUAAACUUGCUCCUAACUUUCAUGUCAUAGUUGCAGAAUAUGUGAACCAAAUUCAGGCCAAAAGAAGAGCUGCAAAAAGAUCAAAUUGAACAAAGACAGGUGAUAAGGAAGUCAAAGGUGCGGGUGGUAACUGCUCAGUGGUCAAAUCUUGAGUUACUAAAGUGACAAGUUCGUUCAGAGUAUAUAAGACCAACAAGGGUGAGAUCAUUUUUUCAAGUUUUGUAGAUGGCAUUACUCUUUAUAAUCUAUAGGAUCUUGGUUCGUCCGCAGAUGCUGAAUUCUUAUUGACACACCUUCCAGAAGGAAAAGUUUAUUACUUGGGCCUUCUAUUACUUAGGCAUCUGGUAUGCACUGUUAUCACACCCCUUCCUACUGUUGCAAAAACCUGCAUUUUGAGUUAAUUCUUUGGCAUUCAAUGGUAAAAAGUUGAUCUUGUUACUUACGCAUUAUUCCGCACUAUCAAGAUUGGAACUACUAGUUAAACACAACCAUUUGAAGAGCAUGCCAUUGUCUGAACCUAGAAAUAUUUUCGCUAGCUGGGUAGUCCUGAUGUCUCCAUUAAACUGACUAGUCUCUCCGAAAUGCUUUCGUUUUGCUCUCGAGUUUGACAUCUAAAACAUUGGCAUUUUGCAGGAAGAAGCCAGGUUAUGCCGAUCUCGUGGCAUGCAUGUGGUCUCUACUAACAGAAGUACAAAGUUUAGGAAGCGCAAAUAACAGUAGUUGAAUAGGGAGAAUGAACAAAAAAAUUUCCACCAGGGGCUCUUUCUGUAAAGAUCUCAUCCUGCUGAAAUUGGAUUGGAUCAUCCAAAGCAGUUUGAAGUGAUCUCAUUGUGCUGUUCAUUUUUCUUUCUAAUCAGGACACUUGUUAGACUCAUUGAUUGUUGUCAAUUUACUCAGAAGAAUCUCUUCUUGUAUAGACACAAGACCAAUUUCAAAGUCAUGUGAGUAAAUCGUUGGCUCAUGACCGAGUUCUGACCUUCAUCUACUGUUGCAAAUGCCGAGUUAAAUCCGAGAGGAUAUGUUGCGUGCGGUUUAUUUCAGCUUUUUUCUUCUCUCCAUAGGUAUCAAUUUUCGAUACACAAAUAAGAUAACAAAAUAUCAAGGUGUUACAAGCUAAUGCAAUACUGUAAGUCUAAGAAUUUAUCUACACAAUUAGGAAACCUAAGAGCUCUCGCGCCACCGGAUGGGCAACCAUAUUUUCUUGAUGAGAAAUGUGAGAAAGAGAGACGAAAGAGAGAGAAUGAAACAAGCUUCGACACUCUUGAAGUAGAGUCCCCAUCCGAAUAUCCGGAACCACUAAUAGCAAGAGGCGGGCUACCUCCAAGCGGCCGGUAUCAAUAGCAUCACAGCCAAGGCGUAGAAAGUGUAUCCAAAUCUCAGAUUCUGUUGCAAGGCUCCAAUGUCAUUUGUUUUUUUUCACUGACCGAAACAGUAUUAGAGGUUUACACUACAAGUUAUACUAACAGGAUAACGAAGAGCCUCUUUUGCCACAUAACGGGAGACGUACACAAUUAUUUUGUCGGCGUCUAUAUUGUAUAAAAACAUAGGUAAAAGACGUGAGGAGGGUGUGCUACUCGGAUAGAAGCAACCUUGCCCUGAUAUCCAAAGUUGUUGACGUAAGGAGGCGAGCGACUUCAGCGCAAUCUGUGAAGAAAGAUAUUUGUCGAAGUUGCCAACACAAAGCUGCAACAAUGGCCCGUCGAAUGGCCAUUAACUCCAAAGUCGAUGUGAGGAAUAACCUGUCCGGAGGCGGCAAGAGCAUCAUCAUCAUCAGUUUCAUCCUUCAGAACAAGACUGAUUGCGCCAUGAUUUGAAAGACGAACAGCUGCAUCCUCGGAAAUUCGCCAAGAGUGAUGGAAAGAGGUGGCGACAUCGUGGAUCAAUAGCAUAGAGCAACAACGUUGUGCAAAAUGGAACUGGAAGUAAUGGAUUGCUAGUAUUGGUCAAUGUUGUCACACACAUCUCUAGAUCUGUAAACUAAAACCGAUCGAGAAAAAAAAAAGAUUUACAGAUCCUAAAAACCCUUUGUGCAAAUACAAAUACAAACCGUUAAAUCUGUAAACUAAAUUUGGUACUUUAACUCACCAAAAUCUAAAUAUUUUAAUAUAUUGAUGUCAAAUUUAGCACUCUAAACACUUUAACCCUCCCAACCGUUGAAGAAGAUCUCAUGUGGAAUUUGGGUAAAAAAAUAAUUAUGCUGGCGUGAAGUAAGUUUGUGCCUUAACUUUGCUACCGGAAAAUGUUGAUACGUUUUCAUUUUUUGAGGAGCAACCGAGCAACGUCGACACUUGGGUCUCCCAUCAAUCUCCAUGCGGCGGUGCAUGCAUUGGUGAUUCCAACCUAUAUAUACCCUAACACAUCAAACACCACUCUACUUGUCUCAGUUAAGAAUACUAAACCCAAGAAACAAAAUGAAAAGCAUGAUGAGGAUUAACGUCCCGGUGGUUGUUGCCGCCGGCGUCCUCAUCACCAUGUUUGCUACUGCCGCCGUGAUGACGACCGACGCCACCAGAGAUGUCACUACAGCUACUACUCAUUAUCACAUCCAAGAGGAGCCAGAGCCCCCGCCCGGUCGCUCCACGUCUGACAACCCCGACAAGAGUACUAACCAUUAUCACAUCCAAGAGGAGCCAGAGCCGCCGCCCGGUGGGUCCACCUCCGACGAACCCGACAUGGGUACUAACCAUUAUCAUAUCCAAGAGGAGCCGGAGCCGCCGCCGGGUGGGUCCACGUCUGACAACCGAGGUUUGACUACCGGUGAGGGAAAAAGUAUCCAUGAUGUUCUACGUGAGCCCGAGCCACCGAAACCUAGCCCGGCGGUUGGUGUUAAUGUAUAACCCAGAGAUGCAUGGGUAGUUGGUUGGGGACAUCUAUCCGACUAUAUAUCCCUUGGUCGGAAUAAACUUUUAAUAAGUCGGCUUGUCCUUUUCCAUUUCCCAUAAUAAAAAUGAUCAAAAAUAAACUUAACAAUUAAUAUAUACCAGAGUUUUGGUAUGUGGUGUGAUUGAAUUUAAAUUUUGAAUAUAUAUAUAUGAGAUGUGUUUGGAUUUAAAUUUGAUAAUUACAUCAAAGAUAGCUGAGCUUGUCAACGUUCACUACAACAAAAAUUAAUUUUGGAGGUAGUGAUUAUUUGUUUUUAAAUGAUAUUUAAUAGUCUUUAUAACUUUAUAAAAAAAUAUAUUUUAUGGGUAUUUAAUGUCCCUAUCGCAAAAUGUCUCUUAAACAGUUAUUUUAUUUAUUGCUUAUUGCUAUUUGAAAUANNNNNNNNNNNNNNNNNNNNNNNNNNNNNNNNNNNNNNNNNNNNNNNNAAAUUUUAUUUUUGCGAGAUGAAUACUCUUUUGGUCAUAUAUUAAUAAAAUUAUUAUAAUAAAAAACCCAUCUAAAUUACACGAAAUAACAAAAAAAAUAUAAUACAAGAUUUAAACACAACAAAAAUAACAAAAUAACUAUUUUAAACUGAUCUUCAUCGUGAAUAGUUCUAAUCUCCAGUUCUUCAAAAACGUGAUCUCAUAUGUGUUCUUGAUUAACCUGUUAUGUUCAUCAAAUUCAAAUUUCAAUUAACAUCCAAUUAUUAUAAACCAAUAUAAUCCCAAUCGCCUUCUAUCUCUUAAAAAUUAAACCAAGUUGUUCCAACAAAUAUAGCUUCUGGGGACGGGAAAAAGGAGAACAUGGGUAGCUUGUGGAUAAAGGAGAAAAGGAAAAGCUCACAGACCAGAGCAUAAAAAACCAAAACCAACUAACUGGCUUUUCCAGCCGGAGACCAGAGCAGCUGGGCCUACUGGUAUCAUCGUUGGUCAACUCUAUUGAACUUUGGAGUCGUUAACCCUAUCAAAAAUUGAAACUUGAGCCUAUUAGUACUUCUAUAAAAAAAUCUCACGGUCCAUUGACGGACGCCCAUUAAAACCUACCAACACUAUUACACUUUAUACAUUUAUGACAUCUCCCUCAUACUUCUUUGUAUCCAAGCUCGUGUUCAUCUUCUUUAGCUAACCUUUAGUUUAUCCCACACCAAAACAUUAACUUGCACUCUCAUAUACGAGGUUAAUACUAAUAGUUUUACAAGAAGACCCACCCACAGAGCACAUCAUCCCAUCCCGCCUUCAACAACCGAAUCAAUAUUUUCCUACUAGAUUGUACGGGGCAGAACAAUAACAAAUUAAGUAAUUGAUCUACAUAUACCAUUAGUCUGUAAAUAUGAAUUGAAGAUUAUAGUCAUGCGAUGUAAAUGUAUCAAUUUAAAUUGGCAUUCUCUUUUACAAUGUGAUCGAAAGAGGCUCCACGAGCAAGAAUGGAAUGGAGAUAAAAUAAUUGUCAACGGUUUUGUUCUCGAACAGAUAAAAUUUCGGCUCCUCUUUCCUAAAAACUUUUUACAUUCUUUUUGCGACUAGCUUUUAUAAUGAAAAAAGUACUAGGUAAGUUAUGUGGAUAUAAAAAUGACGAUUUUGAUAAGAAUUUAAAAAGGAAAUAUUCUGAGAUAUAGAAAGGGAAAUACAAAAUUAAAAAGAAUGAUAAUAACAUAAACUAAAUUUUCUAAAAAUUCUUUUCCCAUUAAUUAUCCAAUCACCCAAAAGGAAAAAAAAUUUAUAAAAAUUAUCUACUUAGAUUAAUUUACCAUAAAAUACAUAAUUUCUAUAUUGGUCGGUGGAUGAAAAUUUGGAAACAAAAACUACCAUAUAUGAAAUUCAAAUACCAAAUCAUUAGCUAAGAUAAUAUUUAAUGAGAAGUUGUUAAUUGAAAAGGCUGGCGUAGAAUACUUUUGUGCAUUAACUUAAUUAAUGAAUAACUUUGGUAAGUUUCAUUUUUCAACUACCUACUUGGUAGGUAGGAUCUCCCUGGAUUGGUUAUUUCAAAUUAUAUAUACCCCCAACUAUCACAUAACCACAAUCAUAUCUGCCUCAAUUGUACCAACAAAGAAUAUAGAGAUAAGGAAGAAUACAAAUAUCAAAAGUAUGAAGAUUAACGUUGCAAUACUCGUUCUCAUCUUGUUUGUUACAGCUGCAGAGAUGACGGAUGCCAUUAGAGAUGUCGUCCCAAUGGAGCCAGAGCCACCAGGUGCGCAACCUACCAACGCUGGCAUGAAUACAACUGUUCACCAUGGUAUUCAAGGUGAGGAACCAUCACCAGGGAUAGCUGAGGCCGACAACGUUGAUCACUACAAUGUUCAAGGUGAGGAACCGUCACCAGGGAUAGCAGAGCUUAAUAACAUUGAUCACCACAAUAUUCAAGGUGAGGAACCGUCAUCAGGGAUAGCGGAGCUUAACAACGUUGAACACCACAAUGUUCAAGGCGAGGAACCAUCCCCAGGGAUAGCCGAGCCUGUCAAUGUUGAUCACUACAUUGUUCAAGGUGAGGAACCAUCAUCAGGGAUAGCCGAGCUUGACAACUCUAUUCACCACAGUUUUCAAGGCGAGGAACCGUCACCAAGGAUAGCUUAAGGUCGAACUAGCCGUCACACCACAACUCAUCAUCAUAUUGUUGUAGUGUAGAUCGAGCCACCGAAACCUAAAAAAUCAGGUAAGUUAUGUGGAUAUAAAAAUGACGAUGUUGAUAAGAAUUUAAAAAGGAAAUAUUCUGAGAUAUAGAAAGGGAAAUACAAAAUUAAAAAGAAUGAUAAUAACAUAAACUAAAUUUUCUAAAAAUUCUUUUCCCAUUAAUUAUCCAAUCACCCAAAAGGAAAAAAAAUUUAUAAAAAUUAUCUACUUAGAUUAAUUUACCAUAAAAUACAUAAUUUCUAUAUUGGUCGGUGGAUGAAAAUUUGGAAACAAAAACUACCAUAUAUGAAAUUCAAAUACCAAAUCAUUAGCUAAGAUAAUAUUUAAUGAGAAGUUGUUAAUUGAAAAGGCUGGCGUAGAAUACUUUUGUGCAUUAACUUAAUUAAUGAAUAACUUUGGUAAGUUUCAUUUUUCAACUACCUACUUGGUAGGUAGGAUCUCCCUGGAUUGGUUAUUUCAAAUUAUAUAUACCCCCAACUAUCACAUAACCACAAUCAUAUCUGCCUCAAUUGUACCAACAAAGAAUAUAGAGAUAAGGAAGAAUACAAAUAUCAAAAGUAUGAAGAUUAACGUUGCAAUACUCGUUCUCAUCUUGUUUGUUACAGCUGCAGAGAUGACGGAUGCCAUUAGAGAUGUCGUCCCAAUGGAGCCAGAGCCACCAGGUGCGCAACCUACCAACGCUGGCAUGAAUACAACUGUUCACCAUGGUAUUCAAGGUGAGGAACCAUCACCAGGGAUAGCUGAGGCCGACAACGUUGAUCACUACAAUGUUCAAGGUGAGGAACCGUCACCAGGGAUAGCAGAGCUUAAUAACAUUGAUCACCACAAUAUUCAAGGUGAGGAACCGUCAUCAGGGAUAGCGGAGCUUAACAACGUUGAACACCACAAUGUUCAAGGCGAGGAACCAUCCCCAGGGAUAGCCGAGCCUGUCAAUGUUGAUCACUACAUUGUUCAAGGUGAGGAACCAUCAUCAGGGAUAGCCGAGCUUGACAACUCUAUUCACCACAGUUUUCAAGGCGAGGAACCGUCACCAAGGAUAGCUUAAGGUCGAACUAGCCGUCACACCACAACUCAUCAUCAUAUUGUUGUAGUGUAGAUCGAGCCACCGAAACCUAAAAAAUCUAUCGUUAAUUUACAAGUGUCAUGCACACAGUGAUAUGCAUUUGUCAAUUUGGUAGAAAUAAACAACAUUGGUCGGCAAAAAUUAUUGUGUUCUAUGUCGGUUAUUAUAAAAUGGUCAAUCAUAUAUUUAUUAAAAAUGACAAUGAGAUCUAAAUCUAAUAUUUUUAGUUAUGAUUAUAAUUUUACUUGUUCGUAAAAGUGGUUUAAACACUUAUAAGUGGUGGUAAAAGUUUGGGAGUCAAAAUCGGAAAUUGCUAUCCCAUAUGAAAAAAUUCUAAAUUUGUUCAAGAAAGGAAGUUUAAAUACCGAAUUUUAAAAGUGGGUUUUCGUUAUUUUAAAUGAGAUUUGAUAGUUUUGUUUUGGGAUUGGAAGAACCAAACACCAAACUCCAAUUUACAUCCAUGUCUAUCGUUUUCACUAAGAACUAUCGUCCUCAGUUCCCAACGUCAAUCUCAUCCACGAUUGGAUUAAUGUAAUUCAUGGGCCAUAACUAUCGUUUGGUUGAUAUAUGGAGUCACUGCAAUUGCUUGGUUCAUCUCUAUAUUCAUGUGGUUGUUCGGGUUUAAUCAUACAUCGUUGCCUUUUGUAUGAUUCAGGUUCAUGAACGAAAAUUCGAGUAUAGGGAAUAUGAAAUUUGGAAAUGGAUUCCCAUUCUUGUCCAAAUCUUCUACCCCUACUUAUAAACAAAGUACAUAUCCAAGUGAACAUAUAAAAGUACGAGUGUUUUAAAUCUUCCUUUUUGAAUGAUAAUUGGUUAUUACAAUUCUUUGAUAAAACCUCAAUAUAAUUAUGGUUCAAACUAAUGGCUAUAAGUUACCGCAAUAUGACCUGGGCUUUGAUACUACUAUUAGGUGCUAUUAGGCUUUCUCACCCCAAAAGUUAGCUUUAACGGCGAGGCUUUCCCUCACACUUAUAAAUAGAGCUCGGCCUCUUCCACUCUCCAAUGUGGGAUAACCCAACUACUUUCCCCCUCACACAUCGGUCUCUCAGUAGGCAUUACCCAUCUACUGACUCUGACCAGAUCAACAUAGGUCCUUCAGACCGGAUCCCGGGAGGUGUUGUCAACAUGGGCUCUGAUACCACUGUUGGGUGCUAUUCGGCCUUCUCACCCCAAAAGCUAGCUCAAAAGGUGAGGCUUUCCCUCACACUUAUAAACAACAUCCAGCCCCUUCCACUCUUCGAUGUGGGAUAACCGAACUAUAGACUCAAUAGAUCAUAAUCUAUACAGUCUAACAUUAUUACAAUAUAAUGAAAGUAAUGAAAUAUAUAAUGAAUACAUGAGAGUUACACAAGGAUAAAAUUACACAAUAACAUUCAAAUACAUAAAUGUUCAUAAUUUUCUUAUAUAUUAACUCGCACAAAAUUAAUUUUUUUAUUUCUUAACACUCAUAAUCAAACCCAAUUGAAAUUAAUAUUAUGUACGGUGGUCUGUUAAUCCAGUGCAUGUCCAUGUUUUUUAGAAGUCCUAUGCUGGGGAGCCUGCCAACACAGGCUCACACUCGGCCCUUGUUUAACAACGUUGUCCAAAGGGAGCCUGAACUCUCAGGAGCACAACCUACCAACAAGUAAUAAUGCUAGCAUGAGUACUACCAUUCACCAUCGUAUUGAAGGCGAAGUACCACCGUAGCCACCACGGCUAGUUGAAGGUUCGACUACCAGUGACAACACAACUCAUCAUCAUGUUCUAGUUCAACCUAAGCCACCAAAGCCUAGCACAUCUAUUUUUAAUGUACAUAACUACAUGAAUACGACACGUUUACGCUUCGACAGUUCCCGUUUUAAUUACUUUUUUUCAUCAAAAUUAAUUUAGUACAUAGAUUAAUUUUAGUGGUAUAUAUGAAUCAACAUAGAUAUCAAAAUAAUCAGAAUGUAUACAUAAUUAUGAUGAAAUACAAUGUAUAUCCCAUCAAACUGAAUAUCUAAUUUAUCCCUCAUUGAUCCUACCCCCAACUUUCCUUAUCCGGUCACCGGAAUUAGUUAGCAAAUUUCACAUCGAAUCAUUCGUUGCGUCAAUUUACGGUAGAAGGGGAAGUCAGAGGAAACAGGGGAAGCAGCUCCGGCGGGUCCACAUUCCCCCGCCGUGGCGUAAUCAACCGAGGAGACGGGUGCAAAUAAAACCUCUUCUCCGCUAUUGCCCUCUCCUCCUCAGUCGACGGCGACGGUGAUGUCUCGGCACUGCUCGAAAAAAACGGCGAACCCAUCAUCAGUGGCGUCACCGGGCUAGCAACGGGAGAGUAGUAAGGUGAAGAACAGGGGCUGCUGGUACGGAGACUCGCUCGGCUCAGCUUGAUUUCCAACUUCCUGACCGUCUGCCGCCGUUCUUGGAGCUUGUACGGCGACCGGCGAGGUGAAUUGAUGCUGUUGAUGAGAUUAUAAUUGGUGGGUUUGGCAGCAUGAUGAUGAUGAGUCCUUGAAGGGUGAGUCACCGGGAGCUUGGCGUCGGAGUCGGCCGCCGCUCCCCCCGAGGGCUGGGUCAGAAGGCCGCGGAGCCCGCGGCCCCGGCGGGGGGGGCUGCGGCGCGCGUCGGCUUGGACGAACAUCGUCGUUGAGACUGGAGACAUCGGCGGCAGUGAGCUGGAAUUCGCGACCACGUGGCGGCGAGUACUCAUCUCCGGAUGCAUUAUAAUUUAUAAAUGAGAUGAUUUUGAAUCUUGGAGAAAGAGGUUGUUGUUGAUGAUGAAUGUUAUUUCAGGUGGGAUGUGUUUGUAUAUAAGAGAAAGAGAGAAUGUGUGUGGGGGGAGAUUAUUCCAAUGGUUGUUGUGAUGUGCAAAUGGGGUUGGAUUUAUGGUGAACAUUCGGUCACGAUUAAUGGUUAAAAUUGAUUAAUUAAUUAAUUAAUGAAUUGAUUAAUUUAAAAUAAUUAGGUUUGGCAUCAGGUGUUUAGAGUUUAGGAGGUUGAAGGGAGUCAACCGAUUGGGGAGGCAGGCAUUUUAUUUGUGGGUUAGUGAUAGAGUACGUACGUUUGUUUAGAAGCAAACAAAUAAACAAGUGAUGGGACGAUAGAAGCCAGAAAUUAGAAUGUAGUCUUUUCUUUGUAUCAACUUGUUUGACUGAAACAAUUUAGUUAUAAUAAUAAUUAUAAUUAUAAUUAUUAGUUAUUAAUUAAUGGGAGGGAAAUGGACAUGUGUUGACAAAACGACGUAUGUUAUUAAUUAGGGUGGGGAUUGAACACAAGAAGGAAGACCAAGCAUUGUUUGACUUGGUGAGGGAUCAAUCAAUGAUUAAAGGAUUUGAAUGUUGUUUAAUUUAGCGUACGAUGAAAUGGUCAAGUUGGACUCCUAGUGUGAAGAGAUCGUUGAUAUACACAAAGCUAAUGUUCGGCACUCACAGAGAUGAUGUUCAACAAAGAUCCAUAAGCUAUAUAGCCUAUACGUAAUUUCAUGCUUGGAGGUAUCUGUGUGUGUUCGAAUUUAUUGUUAGUGAACAUAGCUAACUAUAUUAAAAAAAUUUCAAUUCUUAAAACAAACGGUUUAAAUCAUAAUAAGGUAUUUUGGUCGAGAUAAUUUAUUUUGAGUUAUUUGGGUUAAAAUAUCUCGUUUGACAUUUAACAUAAAAUCUAUGAUAUUUCAGACUGUGGUAUUUUCACAUGAGUUAUUUCAAAUACCUUAUCAAAAUAACUCGUUUGGCAACCAAAACAAAAUAUGUGACAUUUCGGGAUGUGGUAUUUGAAAUAACUCGUUUUUAAGUUGUUUCAAAUACCUCCCCACCACCUAGGUAUUUGAAAUACCUCACUAUACUGAGAAUGUGAUAUUUCUAUUACCAAGUACAACAUUGGAUAACUCAUCAACACGGAUUGUUAGAAUUCUUCUCGCUCCCCUUAGACUGGUUUGAUAAGAUCACAAUUGUUGUCACGGUGCCAACACCACCGGAUCCAAGAGUAACUCAUAAAAUCUUGUGGUACUAUGAACAUUCAAGACCAAACAGCAACCCUGCGUGGAUUAGGUCCUAGGUAGGGGAGCCCGCGGCGGAGUUAGGAUUUAGGAGUGUCGAUUGAUCGAAAAAACUUUAAAUAUUUAUAUAAUACAAAUAUGUAUUAUUAUCGAUAUGCCUCGGGUGAUUUUUUAUUUUCUAAAUAUGAAAGAAUUUGAACUCAAUUUAUGAUUUUUACUCGCUAAUAAGUUGAUUAUAAGUUCAAUUUUGAUAAAUCACUUUGUCUAAACAAAUAAAUACGUGAGCAAAACUUCAAAUAUAAUUAGCCGAGUUACGAAAUUAAAAAUUUUUCACAUAUAAUAUAAUUUGAUAUUCAUAGUGAGAAUGCGAGAGCGUUAAAACUCUUAUUGGCUUUCUUUAGUUCUAACAUGGCCAAACACCGAGUUUAAAAAAAAAAAGCUAAGCCAAAAUCGAAACAAUUGAAAAAUAUACAUAAAUUUAAGGUGAAUUCUCACCAGUACAUGUGGCGCUUAUGUGUAUUAUUACGAGGCUGAUGACUAAGCAUUUUGAUAAUUAAUGUUUAUUUGAUCCUUCAAUUAUUUUAAAUAUAAGUUUUGUCAUUAGGUUUAUAUAUUUUACACUAACUAGUCAUUUAGUUAAAGUCACCAUUAAUUUGUAUGAAUCCGAUAAAAAUCAAUCUUCGUAAUCAAAUCACCCAUCAGUAAUUGUCAGACAAAACUUCCACGGGAUCUACUGUGAACCCCCACUCGAUCAAACAUCCUUGGUCAUCAUCAUCAUCCGGAAAAUUCUGGACCGUCGAUGCAUAGGACUUGAAUCCGAUGUUGCAGUCGACAAUCUCGGAGUGAUCGACGGCGUUCAAUCUUUCCUUGGACCAGGUAAGAAGCUGGGUAGAGGGAAGGGUGAAGCCCGAGCAGUAGCGGAUGCAGCCCGGCUGGCCAUUGCUGUCGUGGAUUCCCAUAUAGCUGGAUGGAAGGUUUGAGAACCAUCUGUGGAUGUUGAAGAAAUCUGUGAAGAGCGUCCAUAUUUGGUCGGCACUGGCUCUCUUUACGGUUGCCGGGACCUUUCCAUUCCAUUUGGGGAGUGGGUGGUUGUUGGGUUGGGCUUCUUCUGCCAUUGAAUUGCUAUUUCAAGAGUGGGACGAUGGAAUUCAGGGGAAUCUUGAUAGCAGGGGUGAAUAUGAAUGGGGAAGACAUACAAGACAAUCAUAUGUUUUGGUUUGAUGUAUUAGUUAUGUAUGUUCUUAUCUUAUAGUUGCACAAGGUGGAAAAAAAGGAAGACGAUGAUCGAAGAAGUAUAUAAAUCGGUAUUUCUCAAGACUGAUAAAAGGUAAUAUAAUCAAUUAAAAUUAAAUUUUAAAUGAUUAUCAUUUUAAAAUUUGAAGAAAAAAAUGUUUAUUAACUUAAAAAUGAACGAAUGAAAUAUAUCUGAUAAAUCAAAAUUUAAUAGUCCAAGACCCAUAAAAGUAUUUUGAGAAAGGAGGCCGUCGGUGCCUAGCCGGGCUUAGGCGUACAUACAAGUUACGCCAUCCAACUCCGUGUGGAAAACAAAACACACAAGAAGAACAAAUCAGGGCACGGCAAGUUUUUCGUGAAGAAAAUUGAAAGAUCAAACCCCCCUAUGCCAGUAACUUUUUUUGAGAGAUCCGCAAUCGAAAGCUCCAUUUCUCUCCGCAUUUCACCCAUUUUUCAUUGCAAUUCCCUCCAAUCCACCCGGAUUUAGAAGAAGAAGAAGAAGAGGAAGAAGAUAUGAGUAUGUCGAGUUGCUUCUUUUGCGGAAGUGUCAUGCCGUCGAUUGGGCCUAAAUCGCCGACCGCCACGACCAUCUCCACACGUUCUUAUGCCGGUCAAUCACCAAGUUACCUACUCGGAAGCGCAUUUACUGCAGCGGGGACGGUUUCAUGUAGGGUUCUGAGAGUCAGGGCUUCUGCCGUGGAUUCGCAUGGGAACUCCUCUGAUUUCACCAAACGUAUGGAGCAGGCUUGGUCGAUAUCUAAGGUAAAGCUCCUCAAUUUAGGGUUCUUCACGAGCUAGGGCGGUCAGAUUUUCAAUUUUUCUAAUUGAAGAUUUUUGGUAUCGUGGAUUGGUUCUUGAAUUGCACAACUGUGGAAUCGGAUGGAAAUUAGCACGUAUGAUAUUUGAAGCUAUCCAACUUCAACUUGUGAAAUGUCCAUUGCCACGAUUCAGUCUAUUGCCUAUUGUGAUUAUUUCCCCUCACAGUUAGGGUUUAGGGAUUAUUUUGAUUGAAUUUAAGAGAUUGAGCAAAAGAAGGAAAUGGUGUUGCUAGUUGGUUGAAUGAUUUGAAUUUCUUGUUUAAAACCAGUUUAGCUCGACUACAGACCUGAAGCCUGCAUGAACUUCGUAACCAUUGUGCUACGAGUUAGUAUCCUACUGUUUGUUCUAAAAGACAAGCUCAAGAGCUGCUGCUGUUUGUAAAGUUCCUGGGUUUUUGUUGUUGAUGUCGUACUAACCGAGCGAUCACGACGAUUGCAGCAACCAAGGCCAGUGCCAUGUACUUGUUGCGAGUCGAAUGGCACCAUUGAAUGCCAAUGGUGUAGAGGAACUGGUUUCUUCAUUCUAGGUGAUAACAUGCUGUGUCAAGUCCCUUCUAGAAACACCACUUGUGUAAUUUGUGCCGGCAAGGUGAUAAUUUCCUCAAGCAAACUCAUUUUGAUAAUCUCUGAAUUGCAACUAUCAGAUAAAUUGCCAGAACUGAUGUAAGUCUUGUGAACGAUAUUGUGAUAUUCCAGGGAUCCAUGCGUUGCGGCGAUUGCAAGGGAACUGGGUUUCGUGCAAAGUGGUUGGGAGAACCCACAGGUUCUAGCUAAAUCACUGUCACUGGAGGGAGCAGCUCGGAAACAAGCUUCCAAAUGAUUCAAUUUUUUUUUUCAAUUUCAGGGUUUAUUAAUUGGACUCUUAGCAUCAGCAAAAAUGUAUGUUUCUGACUUGUAAUACAUCAUCAUUCAUUACCAAUUCUAUUUCUAGAUGGUUGUCAAGCAAUUGGUACAUGUAUUAAUUAACACAUACAUGAAGACACCAGGACAAAGAAAUGACAAAAAAGAUUGUCAUACUACAAUGUAGACUGGCUCUCUAGUUAAUAACCGACAUUGCCACGGGACAGCUUGAAACUGGUAUGGCCACCAUCAUCUUUCUUUCGUGUCGAUAUCGUCAUUUAGUUGUUGCUUUGCACAAUAGCUGAGAAGAGCAAUUUGUUGAUCUCCUGACCAUCCGAAUCAUGUCUGUCAUUUCCUGCAUUAUCGACAUAACUCAUCAACGAAGCACCACUAUUGGACAGCAGGUCCUCAAAAGUGAACCUCUGUCAAGAAAUUCAGAAGCAGAAUGACCAUACUGGAACUUUAUGUAGAGUAAAAUGGCCAAUAUUUUCAAUUAGAAUCCGGUUAUCUUGAAUUUCUAAGCUACCCAUCAUCAUCAAACAACAAUGAAAGAAGGGUUCCAGAUUCUUACCAGUUCUUGAUCGGACUUGAGUCCUCCACUCAUCAAUGACCUGAAAAACACAAAUGCAUCAAUGGUUCAUACAAAAGAUAUCUCUUGGUCACAGAUACCGAUUCUGAAAAGACAAGACUCGACAAAAGGCAAGCAGAGGUUUGACAUGAUAUCGGGUUCAGUCCUAUAGAGGAUUUGACACUGAAAGAAAAGCUACCAAAUAUCAUCUGUUUAAGGCUGCUUUCUGGUCUAAAGCUUCAGAUAUAGUUGAAUGAAUGUAGGUUAUGGGUUGCCUCCACAGAAAUUGUGGGAACACUCUCUACACAUAGCACUUGGAAACUAAAUUUCUAAAAUUGUUCUGAAUGCGUAGAGAAGUGUUGCAUUUUUUUGCACUAGUACCUGAUUGAAGUCGGUAAAUGCAGAAUCCUCUUCAACAUUUGUAGGAGGGAUACCAGUUGAUACUUGCAUCCGAUUUAUCACAUUGUUGUUCCCCAAAAGAGUUGCACGAGCUUUAUCAAUCAAAUCCUACAGAAACAUAUCCAAAGAACGAGUCCUGAUCAGUAUUCACAUCUACCAAAUUAACCAUGGUGAAGCAUAUAUAUAUGCUCAAAUGAAGACAAUGCCAGCUAAGAUCACAAACUGAUUCUGCAACUGCUUUCAGAAUAAGUACUGAUUUGGAUUAAAACCCCAGAAGGACAAGCCUAGCAGUUGAAUUUUGAUGACCUCUGGAAGGUUCAUACUGAGAAAAGAUCAGUGAAGCAGUGAUUACUGAUUAGUCUCAUCCCAGAGUUAGAUCAAAUAAGUAGAAGAUGGAACCUGCUUCGCAGCAAGUAGCUCACGGCACCGAUCCAUUAACUCUGUAACUUCUUCUUGUACCUUCUUUAUCCUGUUAACCAGCUUUACCGGAUUUGCCUGCAAGCAUAAGCACAGACUACUUAGCCUAUAAAUCGAUCCAUGAUCCAAUUACCGAACCAAGGAAUUCGAGCAACAACGGAUAAAAAUGUCGCCAGAUGAAACUAAGAUACAUUUGGUUUCGACCAACUUACGUUGUCUGGGUAAGUCUGUUGAAACUCCUUCUCGAGCUUAGACUGAACAGCUGCGAGAUCAUGGUGAGCUUUCGUCAACAGAUUGACCAGGCCAUCUGCCGCUUGGUUAUGCUCAUGAUGGUGACGAUGCCCCAUUUUCCUCUUUGCUUCUUUCUAGGGUUUGAGCCUGAGAAUUUGACUCGUAAUUCGAUUGAUUUACGCGCCCAGCUCUCGGAUUUUGAUUUUUGUGGAAUUCAUCAUUGUAAUCGCUUUCUCCGGCACCUUAAAUUCAACGGUUAGAUUGCUCUCUGCUCUUGGAUAUGAAACGGUGCCGUUUCAAGCUUUCGUACAGCUUUGUUUAGUUCCUCUGUUAUGCGGAUCAGAGAAUGUGCGGGGGAAGAGAUGGCGAACGAGGACGAAGAGAAAGCUCUGGAGAAUCAGCUAGAAGAGCAGUUACAUGAACUGAGAGACUCCCUUGCUGAUCUUGACGACGCUCUUUCUUCUGAUGCUUCCAAUUCUGAGCUGCUCUCUGUAAGAAUCUACGAACCCGAAUUCAAAGCUUUUCGCUUUAGGGUUUCCUGAGAGAUUUUGCGCCGUGAGAACUGGCUCCGUUGUUAAAUCGGUUUCCACAUUUGGGGUUUCUUCAGGUUCAGGAGGAGCUUGUUCAGUCGAUCAAAGAAGCGGAGGAUGGGCUUCUUCACCUUAAACGUGCUCGGUUGUUAAGGCAAGUGGAUGUAGCAGCAGCAGCACUUCAGAGCUCCAGUCGCAUUCCCAACGAUGUUGAAGUGGUGCAUAUUGAAGAUACAGACGGUGAAGCAACACUCCAGAGUUCCAAGGGUGAUGUUGAAGUGGUGCACAUUGAUGAUACAGAUGGAGAAGCAGAACCAGUGGAGGACACCGAUGGAUUUUCUGUUGGAUCCAAAUGUAGGUUCCGUUCUGCUGAUGGGCGGUGGUAUAGCGGAAAGAUUAUAGGGUUUGAAGGUUCUGAUGUUGCAAAGAUAUCUUUCCUCACACCUACUUCGGAUAACAUGCUGGUGGGUGGUUCAUUCGACUUUUUCUUCUUCUUCUUCUUCCAAUUUCGAAUGUUCUUUUAUUAUUCUCUGAAAUGGAACUCCUUUGGCAUUUCGAAUGAUCCUUUCAGUCUUUUUUAUUGAUGUGUGAUUCUAGUGUUUGAUCUGUGCACUGUUCUUCUGUAAGGGUUUUCAAGUUAUACUACCUACAUUCUGAAGUAAAAGCUGAUGGUUUUGUAGUCAUGAUACUAAUGGUCGACUGCCCAAGUGCAGAUGUGCAAGUUUUUCCGGCAACAACGAUGUCGAUUUGGUACUGGUUGCCGCAUGUCCCAUGGUAUGUUGCAUUUUUCAUUGCUGGUACAUGGACCAGUGGAUUCUUGAACUCAAUACUUGGGAUCGAACUUCUGUUUUCAUUGAAUUCGAACUUGGAGUCAUAUGAGAAAGACCUAUGUGCAGUUUUCUGACAAAAGAUACGUUCUUUUUGUUUGAGUGGCGGAUAUUGUUUUGGGAUUAGCGUUGGCAGAGCCCUGCCGCUUUGUUAUUCUCAAAGUGAUUGAACCUAUGACUGAAUGCUUUACUUGAAACCUUUGUUAACUCGUUGGGUUUGUUCCUGAUUAAGCCUCUAAUGUUAAGAUACAGUAUGAAGCUUUUACACUUUUUACACUCUUAAUUUAGUGAAAUCUUCACCUAUUUACAAUUUUCCUAGUUCCAUGCUUCCUGCUUGUGUUUUUUGCUGCACACAUUUUCUCUUUUGCUAUUAUAUACACCAUUUUCAAGCUGAUGUAAGUUCCUGUAUGCAGGGGUUGAUGUGCCAUUGUCUUCCCUGAGGGAGUAUGUUCCAACAGUCUGGGAUCAGUCAUUUGUGGGUUCCAGCAUUUUUGCAAUAGCUAACCGAAGUGUUGGAAUUUGGAGAGAAGCUGAGCUCCAAUCUUGGGAUAAUGAACUCGGGAUGGGAAAGGUUGUUUUCCGUGAUGAAGGGAGCUCUGCUAAGCUUCAGCCUGAAGAUAUGUCAUUAUCUGAUUAUGGAGUAGUCAGCGAGGAAGAAGAUGGUUGUGAUACAAGCUCAGAACAAUCCGAUUCAAGUGAUCGUGAAGAAGAAGAAGAAAGCCCCGGAGGCUUGGGAUUUCUUGGGAGCACCAACCAACAAAGAGGUAUCCAAAAGGAAACUGCGAUAUUCGCAAAGUGGGAGAAUCAUACCAGGGGUAUAGCUUCCAAGAUGAUGGCAAAUAUGGGUUACCGUGAAGGAAUGGGUUUAGGCGCAUCGGGGCAAGGAAUGGUGAAUCCAAUUCCCGUGAAGGUCCUUCCGGCUAAGCAAUCACUUGAUCACGCUUUAGAAUCUCAAAGAGGAGGUGAACAGAGCAACAAGGAAAGUCAUGGAAAGAAGCGAAGCAGAGGUGGGAAGAGAAAACGUGAGAAGAAGUUUGCUGAGGCAGCUAGGGCAGCAAAGGCCUCGGCGAAGAAUCAAGAAGAAACUAGACCAGACGUCUUCAGCUUCAUUAAUGACCAACUCGCAAUGCACAACGGUGGGUCGGCCAAGAAGGAACAGAGAAAAGGUUCAGGGGAGAAGAAAAUGGACAGACGAGCUCUGGUUGCUCAUGAAGACGAGAUGAAUGAUUUGAGAAUACAAGUAGAUCGGCUGGAGGAGAUGGCAAAUAGAAACAGGAAGGAGAAGUUAGUUUAUGAAGCCACCAUGAGAAGGUUAAACGAAGCUCGGAAAGCCUUGGAAGACGCUCAGGCUACUCAUGCUUCUGCUACUUUUGCUAUUGUUAGCAAAGAGCAAGAGAAGAAAUGGCUCAAGUUUUGAUGGAUGUCAUUGUUUCGUAUGUUGGCUUAUAUCUUUAGUGUCUGUACUUCUACGAGUGACUUAAUUCAAUAAUUAUUAGUCCGAGAUUUACAUUUGACUAGUUGACUAACACAGUUAUGAACAUCAACACUACCCAGUAAAGCUGGUAAGUGAAUAUUUUCAUUCCCAACUUGAAUACAAUAGGUCUUUAUAGUCCCCUAGUGAGAAUAUUUGCUAGAUGUCCACACCUACACAUGUGGGCAGAGUGAUAUCCACCCACUGUCAGUCAAUCUGAAGUUGCAGUCUGCUUCGAUAUGAAAUGGUGGUGUCGUAAUGUAGCGCACAAUAAGCUUUAACCUUGCGUGAAACAUUGGAUUCUUCGUUUGGGAUUGCGGUGAAUCAAAAUAUGGGGUCUAAUAGCAACGAGUUGCUGUGAGCAGACGGUGUCGUCUCAUCUGUUUGGCAGAAGCCCUAACCAUAAGAGCCCAUCUCCGGUUUAAUCUCAGAAUCAAACGGGAGGGGAAGUUAGAACAGAGAACUGCAGGCGAAGAGGAGACAUUCACAAGUCUGAAACCCAAAAACCCUAGCUAGAAUAAUCAGAAGUAACUCAAAGCAUUCAUUGGAGAGAUGAAGAUAGCCGUGGAAGGCUGUAUGCAUGGCGAUCUGGAGACAGUUUACCAGACACUCCAGCACCUCGAGAAGUUGCACGAUACCAAAAUCGACCUUCUCCUUUGCUGCGGCGAUUUUCAGGUUUCUUCCUUUCCUAUCAUGUUCCUCCAAUGAUUUUCUACUUAGCUUGUGUGUUUCAUUUUGCUUGUGUUUCCGCCCAGGCGGUGAGGAACGAGAGAGAUCUGCAGAGCCUGAAUGUGCCGCCCAAAUAUCGAGAUAUGAAGUCUUUCUGGAAGUACUACUCCGGCCAGGAGGUCGCUCCCAUUCCUACGAUUUUCAUCGGUGGAAAUCAUGAAGCUUCCAAUUACUUGUGGGAACUGUGAGUGCUGGGGGUGUAGUAACUUUGCUUCUGUUCACUUUGUUGUUAUAUGUUAGCUGGUUGCUGGAGUGAUAUGGUUUAGGUUUUGUACCUCAGAUAUUAUGGAGGAUGGGCAGCUCCUAACAUUUUCUUUAUGGGCUUGUCUGGAGUGGUCAAGUUUGGUAACAUUCGUAUAGGUGGCCUUUCUGGGAUUUACAAUGCCAGGGACUAUCAUAGAGGUCAGCCUUUCUUAUGUAUCAGCUCUGAAGCGUUGCAAAGAGAUGUUAGAGUUGCAUAUGAUUAGAAACUAGUCGUAGUAGUUCUAGUUAUAAAAUUUGUUGAAUUUCGUGUUGGAUGAGCAGGGCAUGAUGAGAGGCCACCGUACAAUGAAAAUUCUAUAAGAUCCAUUUACCAUGUUCGUGAAUAUGAUGUACAUAAGCUCAUGCAAGUAGAAGAACCAAUUGACAUCUUCCUUUCACACGAUUGGCCUCUUGGCAUCACUGAUUGUGGUGAUUGGCAGCAACUUGUUCGUUUCAAACCAUUCUUUGAAGCAGAGGUAAUUCUAACUUUUGCAAGUUCGUUUACGUGUUCCAUUGUUUUAUUCAGUCUUUUAGUGUUGUUUGUUCCUUUUAACAUUUGUAGAUAAAGGAAAGGACCCUUGGAAGCAAAGCUGCUGCUGAGCUAUUAGAAAAGUUGAGACCCCCCUAUUGGUUUUCUGCUCACUUGCACUGCAAAUUCGCUGCCCUUGUCAAUCAUGGAUCAAGCGGCAAGACAACUAAAUUUCUUGCACUCGAUAAAUGUCUACCAAAGAGAAGAUUCUUACAGGUAUUUAUUUACUUGUCUUUGAUGAUUUUCAUGGCUCAUGUUGUGAACCUUACCGUGAAAAUUAUUUUGUAGAUUAUUGACAUAGAGUCAAAUCCAGGACCUUUUGAGAUCCAGUAUGAUGAGGAAUGGCUAGCAAUAACCAGGAAAUUUAACUAUAUUUUUCCAUUGACAUAUAAAAAUCCUAACUUUAGGUAGGUUUAUCAUCAUACUUAUCUCUUCAUGUCGCUCUAAAGUUUGUCAUUCUCUUCUACGGUUAUUAAAUCUUGCGUUGGUGAUCUUCUAGGGAUACGACAUUGGAGAUCCAAGAUUGUCGUGAAUUGGUCAAGAACAAACUACAAGCUAGAGGAGCUAAAACGUUUGAAUUUGCUCGUACUGUUCCUGCUUUUGAUCCCAGUCAAUCUAAAGUAAAGGGCUCCCCCGGUGGUGAUGGUAAUGAUGGCUGAUCAAGUAAUUUUAGUUAUGUUAGAUAUCUAUCAUACCCUGUAGACACUAAAAUCUUUGCUUUAUUCUGUUUCGCACUUAUUUCUUAAAGUGUUUGAUUGAUUAGUAUCAUUAGCUCCACGGACAGGCCUGCAUGUUAGUCAUGGCUGUAUCUAAAGAAGUUCCGGUUGACGUAUUGCAGAUUGUCCUAGGAAUCCCCAAACAGAGUCUUUCAUGCAGCUUUUGGAGCUACCAUAUCUGCUAGACAGUGGAUGCAAACAUAAAGGAAGCGUUAAUGAUGACACGACUGGUGUAGUGAUCCGUAAAGGUAAAUAUGACUUGCUAGCACAUUCCUACAUUGAACCUCUUUAUUUUCAGUUGACGAUUCCCUGUGACAAUUCCGUGCACAUUCAUUCUCCGGUUCAACUUUUAGUCUGAAUUCCCUUGCAUUUGAGUUAGCACUUCUGCAUGCACUUGUUGUUCCAACUACACUGAUAGAUUUGUAAUCAUUUGAAGUUUUCCUGUCAUCAUAGUCAGUAAAAUGUCUUAACGCUAAAACCCAACAUGUAAGAAAAAUUAACCAGUGACCAACAAGCCUGCAUUUUGAAAGUGUUUAUACAAAUUGUGUAGGUCCUUACGUUGAUGAUCCUGAAGAGAUACCUCUAGAUGAUGCUGAUGAUACCGAUGGGGACCCAGGAACUUCAGAUGAAUAGCUUUUUGAGACACCAAACAGAGCUGUAAGGAAUUUCUUGUCUCUUUGUAUCUUGUAUUAUAUGAUUGCUUUAUCCGAACUUUCUUCCUCAUUAUGUCAAGAAAGAUUGGAUUAUACAUCUUGUCUACAUAACAUGUAAUUUAUAUAAAUAUCCUGAAGAGAUGCAUGUUUAGAAUUGGCUGAAUUCAUUGUAGAAUACUACAACAAUCCUGUUCAGGUUGCUCUUUGUGAUGCUCUGCUUUAGCGUGUGGCUAUUGUCGGUGGGGGUUGGCAGAUAAGUGAAAUGCAGAGAUUGUGGGUUUGGUUUUUGUACAAUGAAGAGUCAAAUCCCAGUUGGGUAGUGGGAAGGUUACCAUGAGUGUAAUAAUAAAUGAAUAGGGUAAGAGCGAGCUGGCAAGUGAAGUGGAAAAAUAAAUUGAGUGGGUACAAGACACUUGCUGCUGUCAACUUUAUUUUAAGUAGAAGGAACAGUAGCAAUGAUGGAGGACUGAACAAACUCUUGGAAGGAUCUAGUCUACCAUCCCGAUUUUGAUUAUCAACGUGGAAAUUUGCCAGAACAGGUGUGUAUGCAAGGUGGAAAUGGUUUCUAUCUACAGGCAGAAUGGCAGAUGUGAACUGUCCUUUGAAGUAUUCAAGGUUUAGAAACCAAGUAUCAACUUUCCUCAAUGUACCUGUGUUUUCUUUUUUGUCACACAUGAAUUUACACCGUAUGCUUCAACUCUUGUAGAUAGUAACUCUUUCAAAACAACUUUGUUAUUCGAUGUCGGUAUUGCUGGGUACUACGAUAUACACCUUAAUGUGAGUCUUCUAUUCAAGCAUUAUGCCUCUUGAAUGCAAAUACUACAUUUACAUUACAUGCUAAUUUUGGUUAUCCAUCAAAUGUACUGUUGCUUGGUUGGUUUCCUAUCGAUCAAUUCUGCUAUAUAUCGACAUAUAGUUCUUGUAAUGUAUCCAAGCUCGAAUGCUGCUGUUGGGUGUGAAUGUAUUCUUUCAUCGAAGAGUUGGUUGAUGCUUGAACACUGAUAAACCUCUUUAGCUACCAACUGAAGAAAAACCAAAGCUCUGAUGAAAACUAAAAAGCAAAGUGCCAUACAACAUGAUCAUAUGAAUGAUAGAAAAGAAGUGCCGGCUUGGAAUUCUCACAAAGCUUUUCAACUGCUGAGAAAUUCAAAACCGUAAAAAGUAGCACGUAUUAACGAGGAGACAGGCAAGGUAGGAGCUUUUACUGCAGCCAGUGAAAGAUCAGUGGAUAGCUGAGAUUCCAAGGUAUCAUAAUCCUACUGGCUACUACAACUAACUCUCAUUAACACCAUAUGACCAAAUUUUUUUUAUAUCCUUGAUGGGCCUCUGGCUGAAGGGUCAGGACGAAAGUCAACCGCUCCAACCACUUGGGAAGUCUGAUUGCCUAGCUUUCAAUGGCCCUUCCGGAGCAUGGGUUGCCUAAUCCAACCACAUUACAUCUCGGAUCAAUAGGAUUUGGCUCGUCGCAACUCGGGUAUCGCUCAAAGGGCUACGUGGCAACAUCGUUGCGGACCACCUCAGUUGAAGGACGGAGAUCACUCUGAUCAAGUCAAACACUAGGAUGAGGUCACACCGCCCAACUCCAAUACUAUAAAUACGAUCCUGCAACCACUAUUGGAGGGACAAACUAAUUACAGUGGGAACAUUCCCCUCAGUACGUAUUGACGUAUUCUCUUAACGUUCUUUCUUUUUCUUCUAUUCUUACUCUUACGUCACCUUUUGAAGUCACUACUACGCAAUACUUUUAUCGUGAAGGACCUAAUAAGUGCUGGACCAAGCGAUCAAGCUCGAGACUAAUAAAGAAAGUUUGUAGACAAUUGAUGUUGAGGAGUCACAUUUACAGUGUCUCUGUCGAUCUUAUAGAUUUAGUUACAAAGAAAAGAGAGCAUAAUAACAAGCCACAUCUACCCACUUGCUCCUGACAUCUUCCAUAAAUGCACCACCUUUGAAUGCUCUCCUGUUCUUCCUGCUACUCCCUACUUCCUUCUUCACCCAACAUUACAAACCAAAACCAAGUUUCACUCACUACCAAACUGUACCCGAAAUUUCCAGUAAUGGAUUCUUCAGCAACCUCACCACUUCCUCUUCUGCUCCUUAUUCUCAUUCUCCCCAACUCUUCUUCUGCGACACUGUCCUUUGACUUCUACUCAUCCUCCUGCCCUGCCGUCAACUUGAUUGUAUCCAACACAGUCAGGACAGCUUCCUCCGACGACCCAUCUAUCCCCGGGAAGCUCCUCCGCUUGCUCUUCCAUGACUGCUUCGUCGACGUAACAACAUAAAGAUUCAGUCUUUAACCAAUUUUCUGCUUCCUGGCUACUUGAUAAUCAUAAACAUACAAUCUUUUUUCAGGGUUGCGAUGGAUCUGUGCUUCUAGAAGGGAACUCGACGGAGAGGAGUGACCCGGCCAAUGGGUCGCUGGGAGGGUUCGAAGUGAUCGAUUCGGCGAAGAGGGUGCUGGAGGUGUUCUGUCCUGGCAUUGUAUCUUGUGCUGAUAUUCUGGCUCUGGCUGCUAGAGAUGCUGUUGUAAUCUCUGGAGGACCGGAUACUCAAAUUCCAAUGGGGAGAAGAGAUGGGUUGGUUUCGUCUGUAUUGAAUGUUAGACCAAACAUUGUGGACACUAGCUUCACCAUGCCUGAAAUGGUCAAGAUCUUCUCCUCCAAAGGUCUCUCUCUGGAUGACCUCGUCGUUUUAUCUGGUAAGCCUAUUUGCUCCACCCCACUUUCGGUCCCAAGAAUUGAAAUUUAUAUGUUAGUGAUCUUUUCGAAUUUCGUCCGGUGCAUUUUUAGUUUCGACUUAUUGUUUAGCCAUAGACUGAACAAGGAGUUGUGGAGAGUCUUAGACUUUCUUUUUUCCUAGUCAUGAAUACUAAAUUAUAUUUGAAAUUUAGACAUUUUCAUCAUUUAACUCAAUUCUAUAUGAAGUUCCACUCUCCUAUUUAUUUGUUUAGAUCGUGUUAUUUAUUAAAUUCAAUUAUUACCCCCAAUGAACUACUAACCAUACAUUUAAUCAAAAUAGACCGAAUUCAAAAAUAAUAAACCAUCGGUGGCACAUUAAAACCGGUUUCAACAAAAAAUGCAUGGUGAUUAGGAUUUUUUUUAUACAUUAAGGGCUUUGUUUUCUACUCAAAAGCGGACGGAAUUCAGUUUUAAAGGCAUAUGUUGGAUUUGUCCAAAUCCGGAUCUCUCCAAACGAACUUUAGAGGUUGGAAUUAGGCAGAAGCCUUCAAAUUUGACAUGAUUGGGGAUGUUGCUUUAUGGUUGUGGAAAAUAUAUUUAGCCGAAUUUAUUGAAUAUUUAGAAUUGAGUCCUAAAUUCAACCAAUAAAAUGUGUCACAGAAACCGAACCUUAAUAUUUGGUUCAAAAAAUAGGUUUAGGAAAAUGAAUUUGUCAUUCUAUUAAAAAAUCAAUAACAAUAGAAAUUUGUUUGAUUCAAAAUAGACUCGGUACAUGUCUCGGUCUUGAUUACACACACCCCCGACUAGUUGAGUGUGUUUUGUAACUUAAUUACUAAGGUGGGUUUGCUUGUUUGUGUUUUAACUUCAGGAGCUCACACAAUAGGAUCAGCCCAUUGCGGAGCAUUCAGCGACCGAUUCCACACAGAUCCAAAAGGGAAACUGAAUGUGAUCGAUUCCUCACUGGACGCUAACUACGCAAAGGACUUGAUCCAGAAAUGCCCAGCCGGAGCAAAUAACCCGUCGGUAACAGUUGCGAACGACCCGGAAACAUCUUCAGUGUUCGACAACCAGUACUACAGGAACCUGUUGGGACACAAGGGUCUGUUCCAGUCAGAUUCCGUGCUGCUGGAGGACAAACAGACGAGUAAAUUGGUGCGAGAUUUGGCGGCGGAUGAGGAGGCAUUUUUCGAGAGGUGGAGCGAGUCCUUCGUGAAGCUUACUAGUGUUGGUGUGAAGACCGGCGAGGAAGAAGGAGAAAUUCGAGCUUCUUGUUCCGUUACUAAUAGUAAUAUGAAUAGGAAGAAGUGAAUUUAGUUGACACGGUUGGAGUUAGUUAAUUAAUCACAUUGUUUCGUACAUAUGUUAUCACUCAGCUCAACCUUGAUAAUAUCAGGACAUUAAUUCAUACGAGCGCAGUUUGGACUAAAACACGUCUCAAUUUAUUUGUCAAUGGUGUGGUGGCGGAACGUUUAUCUCAAUUUUUUAUCUUUAUGUCCUGGAGUUCAUGACUGUUUGUGAUGCAUGUAUUUUGAGUUGUUUAUGGGAAGUGUUUUGAGUUGAGCGAUAUUGAAGGUGAUGCAACACUAGUUCUCUCUCGGUUUUAACAACGAAGUUCGCGGUUGUUUGCGCUUUCGUUCCAGCAUGCUUGCCUUUUCGUGUGGCUCGUCCUGAAUUGCUGGUGCAUGUAAUUGAACUACAAAUGAAGUGUUGUAGAGACUGAUAAAUCAUUGUUUAUAUUUGCUAUAUUAAUUCUUUAGUAAUGACUAAAGCCAUCUAUGGAAAAAAAACUAGAUGAAAAAACUAGUACGUUAAGUUGUAAAUACAUUAAAAUAGGAUGAUCAAAAUAGAUAUACUGCGGAACCUUUUCUUUUUUGAUAAAUCAAGGGACCUCAACAAAACCCUAGUAACUGCUCAAGAACUGCCGCUCUCACCAUCUGCUGUAUCUCUUCCAGUGCUGGAAUCCAUCUCUGAUUUUCAUAGAACUCUUUGCACGACUUUAUGUUAUUGUCGAUCACUGACAAUCAACACCGACUGCUGAUUUUUUCUGAUUUCUUUCGAUUUUUGAGACCCUUGCAAGUAUGGCGGACGUUAUGGGCGCGAAGGACAUAGGGGCUGUGGCGGCGGAGGUUGGAAUCGACCUUUCACAGGUUGAUUUUGACUCAAUCCAGCUGCCGGCCGGCGAAGAUUUCGGCAUCCUCAGGUACUUAUUCCUAACCAUUGCACUCAGAUGGGAUUCUGUUUCGAUGAUGCUCAUUAUUCUCAUUAGGCGUUUUCCCUAUCUUUGUAAGCGAUGACGAUGACAUCCUCCAAGAGGAGCAGCUAGAUUUCGAUUCUGGCUUUGGAAACAUCAUUGUGGUGGAUAAUCUUCCUGUUGUUCCAUUUGAGAAAUUCGAGAAGCUCGAGGGAGUUAUCAGGAAGAUCUUUUCCCAAACUGGGGUUAUUAAGGAGGAUGGUCUCUGGAUGCCACUUGAUCCUGAGACCAAGAAAACUAAUGGUUACUGCUUCAUUGAAUACAACACUCCUCAGGUUACUGGUUUUCCUACGGUUUUGUCUUGUUAGCUUCUCCGAUAAUCUAUUUUGUGUUUGGUUGUUGAUCUACUGUGGGUUCAAUUCACAGGAAGCUGAGCUUGCUAAAGAGAAAACCAAUGGAUACAGGCUUGACAAGUCCCAUUUUUUUGUUGUCAAUAUGUUUGAUGACUUUGAUAAGUACAUGAGAGUACCGGAUGAAUGGGCAGCUCCUGAGGUUAAGCCAUACGUUCCUGGGGUAAGAUCUUGUGCUUCUCAUCUCUUACUUCUUGCUCAGCUUCUGCAUGUUAUCUUAGAAUGGAUGAUGUUCGAUAAUGAGUUUCUGUACCAGCGAUUUGUUAGUUGAGGUGAGGUGUGUUGAGGAACUCUAUGCUUUUUUGGUGCUCCCAACAUUGAUGUACAAUUCUAUAAGUGUGUGCUCCUUUUUUAUUGUAUGCUUGAUUCUUGUGCUGCCUAUUAUGUGCGUGGAUUAUUGAUUGCUGAUAUAACUUUGGGAUAUGCUUAUGAGGAGUUCAUUGUGUUCAGGUUUUUGAACGUCUUGUGUUUUAGACUUUUAGUAUGCCUGUUCCGCAGUUGGAAUAAGAGCCAUAUAUAUUCUGAUAUUGGCCUUGUUUAUAAUGGCUGCAUUUUCCCCUUGAUUCAUGAAGAAAGUAAACUCUGUACACUCUAAACACUAUUAAUUUUGAUUUCCCCCAGUAUUUCGUACACUCUUUUUAGGCUCAACUCUGGUUGGCAAUUGGAUACAUGAAAGGUCCAAUGAGAAUUAGUUUUUGUAUGUGCUUAUUUUUGUUAUGUGUACUUAAUGUUAUUGCAGGAAAACCUACAGCAUUGGCUAACCGAUGAAAAGGCUAGGGAUCAGUUUGUGAUCCGUGCAGGCACUGAUACUGAGGUGUUCUGGAAUGAUACUAGACAUUUGAAGCCCGACCCUGUCUACAAGCGGGCUGUAAGUGUUGCCUGCUCAUUUUUUGGGAAUAUUUUCAUCAUUUGCCUUCCUCAUUGUUUCAUUAAGUUUCUGUUGGAAUUUAUUUUGAAAAGACAAGUCAGUGUUGGAAUUUUUUGAUGGAACUGCCACUGUCUUAUCAUCAAACGCUUGUAUUUGAAUCUUGAUGUAUAAGUAGGUGAAAAUAAUGUUCUAGUGAGUCGUUUACUAGAAAAAUGAAAACAUGAUUCUGUAAUAUUGGGGAGCUGCAACGGACGAAAUUGAUCACAAACUUUCAAAGAAAUAUAUAUGGACAAGCUGUCUGUCUAGUUUCAUAAACAAAUAUUAUUUUAUUGAAAGGUUAUGGUAAUUAUCUUUCGCUGAUGACCUAAUGUUCAUGCCUGUUUACUGUUGCAGUACUGGACAGAGAGCUUUGUUCAGUGGUCUCCACUUGGAACUUACCUUGCAACAGUUCAUAGGCAAGGGGCAGCUGUGUGGGGCGGUGCAUCUACCUUCAACCGUCUUAUGCGCUAUGCUCAUCCUCAGGUCUUUCUGCCUUCUAUUUGGGUCUCGUUUUUCACAGCUCUUUUUGUUUAUCGGCUUCAAUGUUUGAUUUCAGGUUAAAAUGAUUGACUUCUCCCCAGGUGAGAAAUACCUGGUAACCUACAGUAGUCAUGAACCAAGCAAUCCACGUGAUGCAAAUGUGAGCUUGUUUAUCAUGGCUUCUCUUUGUAUGUUUUAGCGUUGUCAGUUCUCUCUUUAUGCUUUGGGACUCAUCUAAUUAUUCUUUUCUUCCAGAGGGUUCUGAUCAAUAUAUUUGAUGUGAGGACCGGCAAGGUUAGAAGAGAUUUUAAAGGAAGUGCUGAUGAAUUUACAGCUGGAGGAGCUGGUGGUGUCACAGGUGUUCCAUGGCCAGUUUUCCGGUGAUUACUCUGUGCAAAUGAUUGUCCACAAUUUGAAUAUUCCUCCCCCCUUCCCAAUCAUUUUGACCUAAAAAUUCUUUAUUGCUGUAUGCAGCUGGGGUGGCGGAAAGGGUGAUAACUACUUUGCAAAAUUGGGGAAAAAUAUGAUAUCUGUCUAUGAAACAGAGACUUUCAGUCUCAUUGAUAAGAAAUCCAUAAAGGUUGAGAACGUUGUGGACUUCACUUGGUCUCCAGCCGAUCCAAUUAUUGCACUCUUCGUCCCUGAGCUUGGUGGUGGUAACCAGCCGGCUAGGGUGAGUCUUGUUCAAAUUCCCAGCAAACAGGAACUGAGACAGAAGAAUCUUUUCAGUGUCAGCGACUGCAAAAUGUACUGGCAAAGUGCUGGGGACUAUCUUGCUGUACAGGUGGAUCGGUACACCAAGACCAAGAAAAGCACAUAUACAGGCUUUGAGCUUUUCAGAAUUAAAGAACGUGAUAUUCCCAUUGAGGUUCUGGAGCUUGAAAAUAAAAAUGACAAGAUCAUUGCUUUUGCCUGGGAGCCAAAGGGGCACAGGUUUGCUGUUAUUCAUGGUGAUGGUCCAAGGCCUGAUGUAAGCUUUUACUCAAUGAAGACUGCUCAGCACUCUGGCCGGGUGUCCAAGCUCACUACCCUGAAAGGAAAGCAAGCAAAUGCUCUUUUCUGGUCUCCUUUGGGACAUUACUUAAUACUGGCAGGAAUGAAGGGUUUCAAUGGCCAACUGGAAUUCUACAAUGUUGAUGAGCUUGAAACUAUGGCAACUGCUGAGCACUUUAUGGCGACUGAUGUAGAAUGGGAUCCUACUGGAAGGUAGUAUAUUCUUUGCUUUCCGUACCACUGUGGUUGUCAGUCUGACUUAGAGUGAACGUGUUUGAUGGAAUGUCCUCUGAUGAUAAAAUGCUGAGAUAUAUGUUUUGGUUUUCAGGUAUGUGGCAACAGCAGUCACUUCAGUUCACCAUGAGAUGGAGAAUGGGUUCAAUAUCUGGUCCUUCCACGGAAAGCAACUCUAUAGGAUAUCGAAGGAUCAUUUCUUCCAGGCAAGUCUCUAUAUACCGUUACUGAGUUGUUCCGUCAAUCGGGUCGACAUUCUCAUUACCUGAACCACGGGUGCCUUGUCUUGUUGUUUUGCUUGUAUAUAACAGUUUCAAUGGCGCCCAAGGCCACCUUCCUUCUUGAGUGCGGAAAAGGAGGAAGAGAUUGCAAAGAACUUGAAGAAGUACAGCAAGAAGUAUGAGGCAGAGGACCAGGAUGUGUCGUUGCAAUUGAGCGAGCAAGAUAGAGAGAAGAGGAAACUGCUCAAGGACGAAUGGGCCCAAUGGGUGAGCAAAUGGAAGAAGAUGCAUGAAGAGGAGAAGUUGGAGAGACAGCACUUGAGGGACGGAGAGGCCAGCGACGAAGAAGAGGUGUAUGAAGCCAAGGAAGUUGAAGUCGAGGAAGUGUUGGAUGUCUCAGAGGAAGUGGUUUCAUUCGAAUACGGCCAGGAGUAGUAGUAACGCCAUAUGUAUUGCAUGAAUUUGCUAUAUGCUUGUUAGUUUUCUUUGCGGAGACGUUACGUCUUGUUCUUUGGGUCUUUGAUGUCUCUUCAAAUUAUGUUAGAAUUGGUUUAAUCAGGUUUGUUGGGGGAACCAUGCUCAAUUUUGUUAGACGCCUUUUGGGUGGAGAUGUUUUUUGUAAUGGAAUUAAUCUUAUUAGUUGAGAACAUCAUCGCAUCUGUGUCGAUUGUAAGCAAGCUAAUUGAUAAUUUUGAAUAGCAAAUGAAAAACUUAGUAGGGCUAAAUUGCGGGAGAGCAGCUUGAUGUUUGGCUAGGAAAAACCUCGUUUAAGUUUGGCUCAGUGUCAAACAAAUCUGCUUGAGAGCUGGCUCGAUAUUAAACGAGUCAAGCAUGGGCCAGCCCUUGUUUUUGUUCGACUCUGCACACUCGACGUUGGUCUAUCACACAUUAUGUGGUUUUAUUAAGGGUGUAUCAUGUUUCUUUCUAUACACAGAGGUGAAAGUUUCUUAAGAAUUCAAAUAAGGAUGUUCAUAUAUGCGCCAAGUCAAAAAAAUAUGGAACGAUUCGAGCUGGAGCAGGUAAGUAGUGGUGCAGCAAGAAGAUGGGAGCAGUAAUGGCGGAAUGGUGCAACGGGCCAUAAGAUGUAUCCUUUUCGCGUAAGAACACAGAAGAAUCUUAAACGGGGCUCAAUUUUGUGUUGGAAGGAUAAAACUUGUGGCGGUGUUUGGAAUUCGUCCACUGUGGAACGAGUUAAAACAUUAGCAAUUUCUGGGCAACUUGGUAAUGCCGUGAAGUUUGGUCUUCUAUUCUAUCCCAAAGAUGACAAAAAGGAGAAAGAAAGGUACAGGAGAGGAGACAAGAGUAAAAGACCCUUCGAAUACAUAGACUUAACGUCAUCGUCAUGAAUAUCCAAGUGGGUGCAUGCAGCCAAUUGCAGUAACCUGUUAUAAAUAUCAUGUGUUGAGACAUUCAUUCUUCACUCUUCAUUCCCACAAGUAGCAAGCAAAGUAAGUUGGUCCAAAAUGGGCGCCAAUGGUUUCUUCUUCCUCCUCCUCCUCCUAACCUUGAUUUCUCUCUUCCACAAUUUCCAUGUCUGUCACUGUGCUCGCCACAUAGUUGUUGUUGAACAAAAAUCCUCCUACCCUUCUUCUUCCUUUUCCUCCCCACCACCACCACCACCCGCCUCCACCACCCCCGUCCAACAACUAACACUCACCCAUCUCUAACCACCAAUUCCCCAGUUUCGCCUUUGGCUGCGCCGCCGAAAAGCUCGAUGAUGAAUCCGCCAAAGUUGACGGCAUUCUCGCCCUCGGCCCUCCCUCCGCCAAGGAAGACGUUCCACCCCUCCUCUCCCAGACUGCACAAAUCUACCGGACUAUAUUCUGCUACUGCUUGCCUACCGCCGCGGGUAAUUCCGGCUACCUUCUGUUUGGAUCGCAGGCGAUUCAGACCUGUCAAACUGAAAACACUAGAUCCACCACAAUCGUCCCCAAUACCACUAACCCGGCUAUGUACUUCGUCAAUCUCAACGGAAUCACCAUCGGAGACUUGGUGAUCCCCGCUUCUUCUUUGUCGUCGGCGGCGAUCGACUCGGGGACUGAAAUCAGCCGGCUCCCGCAGGAGGUGUACGAAGGCGUGAAAGCAGAGUUCAAGAAAUGGAUGGCGAAUUACACGGAAGUAGAGGGAUCGGAUAUUUUGGACACUUGUUAUGAUAUGGGCGGAGUGGAGAUUAAGAAUUUGAAAGUUCCGAUUAUGGUUCUGCAUUUCGGGGAUGAGUUGGAUAUGUAUUUGAACGAGGGUAAGGUUGUUUGGCCGGACAAGGCCCGAAGCGGAGUUGCGUGUUUGGGGUUUGCUGCGGAUAAUGUCAGCAUUAUUGGGACUCAUCAACACAGUGGCUGGAAUCUGCUCUACAACAAUGAACGCAACACUGUUGCAUUCGGCCCCGGAAAUUGCUGACGGCUAUAUAAUUCGGCUGAUGUACUGGCCGGAUUAUAUAGACUUUAUCUAUUAUCCGAGCACUCGACUUGGAAACGGACUAAACUGUUGUCCAAAGCAGUCUCUCUUAGAUUUGCCAUCGACAAGCAAGCAACUGUAACAAGUCAAAUUCAUGUAUGUUGUAUCAGUCUUUUUUUUUUCAGUCCAGCAGCAACCAUACUUGUCAUCUGACUUGGUUGGUGUCAAACUGUUACUUUAAACAAUUCCGAUAAGCUUCGGCUGGGUGGGCAGCUUGAAGAUUUGAGCAAACCUCCUCAUAUAUAACCAAUAUAUUAGGGCACCUAUUGAAGAGCUAACCAAAUUGUCACCUCCGUCUAUGAGCCCGCAUGAGAAGUUUGGCAAUAGCAGCACAAGAGCCUGACAACUGCCGGUGGUGGAUGAAUAAUGAGAGCGGCAACGAAAGAGAGUUCCGACAUCUGUUGACAGUGGUAGCGCGGAGGUCCGACGAUUACAGCGACGGAGGUCCAAAUCGGCACCGACAGAGGUCCAUGUGGCGACAGAGGUAGCUAGCAUUUGUAAUUCGAAAACACAUUAUUGUGUAGAACAUACCUAAUGUGUAGUAUUUGUAAACCGUACAAAAAAGAUACUGAAUUGAAAUUUAAUAUUUUCAAAUUUCCAACACACAACGUUACUAGCUGCUGCGGUAUACCACCCGCACCCGAAUAUUAAUAUAUAUUCCCUUGAAUUCAAAAAGAGCUACAUCCUCCAGAGUUGAAGGCCAAUUUCUUGGCAUUGAUGUCAUAGUAAACUUUCAACCCUCGAUGCUGUUGAUUCCCAACAAUAGUCAAAUCCCCCUCAUUCCCAUUACCGGCAAACGCCAAGCACACUCGAGACAUUGGAUUCUCAUCUCCUUCCUUCAAUACCACCGCCGACGGAUCCAACUUCACAUCCACCGAAUCCUCAAAGUGCAGCAUCAUCUCCGGCGGACUCCAAUCGCUCUCGAGUACUCCUUCCAGGUUAUAACAACUAUCCAACAGCUUAGUCCGCUCUGCUUCAACAAAACCAGACAUCAAUCCCCGAAACGCCGCCCGAAGCUCCGUAUACACAGCCAUAGGAAGGCGGGUCACAAUCGUCCCGGAAUCGAUGAUCGUGUUCAUUUGGGACGAAGAAGAUGGUGGUAACAAGGACGCGAAGUCCAAUCUCCGACGUCCGAUUGUUAUCCCGGUGAAUUUAACGAAGUAGUUCGUGAGGCCAUUGUUGUUGUUGGGAUGAAUAUCAAGCGAGAUCAUCUUGGCGGAAGGUGAUUGCGGACGGCAGGUCUCCAUCGCCUGGACGCCGAACCAGAGCGAUCCGGUUGAGGAAUCGGUGAGCGGAAGGCAGUAGCAGAACAAGCCGAGGAGAGUCGCGUCCGUUUGCGCUAACAGGGAGAAAUAGCCAUGUCCUAAACCAAGCACGCCAACUGCUCGACCAAAUUCCCCAACAGACUUUUCAGCGCAACCGAAUAUGAAUCCUUUGUUAACCAAGGCGUCCAAGGAAAGCGUGUCGUUUGCGUAAACCCCGGAAGAUUGCGAGCCGUCGUGGUAGUCGACGGCGUAGUUGCAGUUUGUGCCGCAGGAGACCGCGGACGAGGUUAGUGACAGAGAAGGGUUGAAAGAACUAUCGGCGGAGGAGGCGCCGGAGGAAGAGUUGCAUUUGACCCAACUGGUGUCGCUGCCGGUGUCGAAGAGCAAGUCGAAAUCGUGUCUGGGAGUGCCGAGUCCUACAGUGAUGAUGAAGGAUCCUUGGUCCGGUGUGAGAGUCAGGGUGGUUCCUAACCCGAAUUCAUCGGUAUGAAUUGGUGAUUCCUGCUGCAAAAUCCUGGCGGCAUCAGCGCUGAUCAAAAGAUAUGACGACGACGCUAGUGUAAUCAUAAGGUAUAAAUUAUGAAGAACAGAAAGCAUGGAUGUUUUGGAAUUUGCAGAUGCCAUGGUUACGGCUGGAUAAUCUAUUCUACGGUAGCUAAGAAUUUAUUAUAAUUCGUAUUUUCUGUUUCUGUUGACUGAUGAUAUAAGAUUAGAAUUUAAUUGAAUCUUCAUUCCAUGGCUGUCAUCAAGCAUCAAUCCAAGGAGGACUGGAUUGACUUGUACCAGUGGCACAGGCCAAAGAUUCUGAAUCGGGAGCUAGAGAUUUGGCUUCUGGAUCAAGUGGAAAAGGUUAUCAAAAAUAAAUCUCAACUGUCCAAAAAUCAUAUUUUAGAUCUAACGGCUGAAAAUAUGAGGGGCAAAUUUGAUAUUUUAUAAUCAUACAAAUGUGUAUAAUACUUUGUAUAGUACUUUGUAUGAUAUUUAAUAUUACAUUUUGUACAAAAGUCAUACAAAUGUGUAUACACUUCUGUAAAAGUUUGUACAAACCAAUACACAUUUGUAUGAUCUGCACAAUUCUUGUACAAAGCUGUACACCGAUCGUCGGAAUAUACUUCCAAGAAAAUUUUUAAAAAAUCUGAAAUAUAAAGCUGACGACUGUAUCACAUGAGUGUAAAAACUUUCGUCAAUGGAGGUCGAAAUCGCUGGAAAAUUAACCAAAAAACUUUCGUCAAUGGAGGUGGCUGACUUCUAAUCCAGCUUACUUACAACAAUAUGAUUAUAUUGCUCCUGAUUAAUCGAUUUUUAGAUUAUAUAAAGAUUCAAGAAUUCAGAUUACUCCCGAUCAUAUCCGAAAAGCAAUGACCUUGGCUCCCGGACUUAGAGUUCAAACGGGGCUGAGAAAUUUCCAUGGUAUUUGAUUUCGAUCAUUCGAUGGUGUCUGUCAGUCAAACAGAUGCUGGAAAUUUUAGAGAUGAACUUUGGCUCUCAAGUCAACUAGCAGCAACAAAGCUAUCCAAUAUAAUAUAAUGAAAUUGACAAGCACUCUAUCUUUAUCUUACAUAUAUUGAACACAUUUUCCAUUAAUCUCAAACCAUGGAUGUACUCCAAGAACAACCCUAAUGUGGAUUCAGCAACCAUGGCGAAGGAAUUGAAAGAAACACAUGCUUGUGAAGUGACUACUCGUACCUGCUAUUGAGCUAAGGUUCGUGCCAAAGAGAUGCUGGAGGGGUACACUUGAUGAGUCAUAUGAAAAACUGAGGUCAUACAUUGCAGAGUUAUAAAGAGUGACCCUACUGGCAGGAUUGCAUUGGAGGGACAGGAUGAACAAUGAGGAAAAAUGACCCUACUGGCAGGUUUGCAUUAGAGUGACCCAAUCUAGUCUUCAUAAUUUUGCUAUGUGGAAAAAUGAGUUUUCUCUGACUCAUUUUGCACAGGGACAGGAUGAACAAUGAGGAUCAGGAAGCAAAGGACUUGGUCUAAUGCCUUGAGCUCCAGGGAAACUUGAUUUGAUUCGUUGAGUCAAAUCAAGAUGGGGGAUGUCCUCAUGAGUCAUCAGUUUCGUUGACCCAUAUUUAAUUUGACUGGUCUUAAAAUCUCGAUAAACAUUUUAAUUAGCCAAUUCUAUACAAAAUCGGAAUAAUAGCAUCACCGAUUUUAUGGCAGACGUGAGGCUCUAAAUUAUCCUAACAUAGUUGCCACACAUAUGAUUAUGUUUUUGACAAAUAAACCAUCAACUCUUGUAUUAUCGAAAGAAUAAUAGUGUAGAAGCAUACAAAACACCCAUCCGAGGUGCAGUCCUAGCGAACAAGUCUACAUGAAUCGCGGGUCCUUACAAGUAAAUGAUCUCAACCUUUUCUCUCCAACCUAACGGGCAAUAAAUCCAAAGAUAGAACCAAGUUUAAGAAACCAACAAACAGGAAAACAAACUGACAAAAGAAAGCCAACCGAAGUUUAAAAUAGACCUAGCGAGCAUGAAUGAAAUCAUUCUUAUUAGGCUAUCACCGAGGGAGGUUAGGACCUCAGCUGGCUCGGCAUCGGGCUUCAGUGUGGCAUACCAGUCGCUCGGAGCUGACUGUUUGUUGGUGCUGAAGGUGAGAUUUGGCCCUUUUUUCGGGGUGACUUGUGUGCUGACGUACUGAGAUUUAGUUCCAUCUCCAUUGGGUCCAACGUAGUCAGCUCGCACCUACGACGUUUCUUGUCAUCCACAGCGGCUCGGUCUCCAUCUUCUAUUGCUAGGAUCUCGAGCUCAGAAUUACCCGGCGUCGAAUGUGGUCGCGGCCUAAUGAAGGGUUUCCGGGUAGCGGCUGCUUCAGUUUGUUUCUGCUCGGGUGUUCGCUUCUUCAUUAAGCUCCAGUGAUGCUGCAUAUCUUUCCAAGUUGGAACUUGAUCGAGUCGUCCCAUUGGAAUGCAAGAUGUUCCUCAGGGUACCGGCAACGGAGUACACACUUCUUUUCCACGUGGUCCAUAAUCUCACAGAUAUAACAGAAACACGGAAGUCGCUCGUAUUUAAACUUGCACGUUAGCUCUGAUCCGUCGUGAAGGCUGAUUGUAAUAAUUUGCAUCCCUUGUGUAUCUAGUUGAUACAUUUGAAAACAGACAUAUGAUUAUUCGGAUAUAAUAAAAUAAAAUAAUUAAUAUACAGAAGCAAGUGAACAAGUGCCGUCUUUUUCCAUAAGCGCCCAUGUUUGCCAGCGAUUAAUUGUUCGGUUCCAUGAAGAUAUGAUAACGACCCCUUUCUUUGAACCAACACUCGAAAAAAGAAAAACUACCAGAUGGUAGAAACUAAGGUCGAAAUCGAGUAUCGAGAAGAAACAACAAUUGGUGAGCGAACAAGGCUCCACAUAAAGUAUCAAGUAGAGAGAGUCGAUGAAACAUCACAACGAUCAAGGAUGGUGCGAUAAUAAUAUGAUAAUUACCAAGCAUAGACGAAUUUACAUGAUAUUCGAUGAAAAUAGUCGACUAGUCCGCAUAAGAGAAAGGAUAUUAUUAGGGUUUUUAGAAUAGAAAUUGAGAUCGUAUCUCACCGAGAUUAAGUUAAUAAAGAGAGAGAAAAGUGCCGAGUUCGGUCUAACCACUAACAAACCAAACCGAACCGGACUGGCAUGGUGGAUGGUAUCUUGUUCUUUAAAUUGGAAUCUGGGAAAGAAAGGAAGCAGUUAGGUUUGCUUAGUUGGUGGUGACUCAACUUUCCUUCCUUUGCUUCGUAUAUAAUGGAUCGAUCAUCUAUAUCUGUAAACCUGAGCCAGCAAUGCAGAAUAUAUAUGCUGUAUCAAUCAUUCAUUGUCCCAACUAAUUAACAGCUUUUAAUUCGUCACUUUCAAUUAGUAUCGGGUUGGUAGUUGAUACUAUAUUGGGUUCAUCAUAUCGUUAAGUAUUAGAUUAUUAGAUGCCUGCACCAACCUUAUUGUCAAAUCCUAUAUAAAGAUACCGUAAAAGUUAAUUUAAUCGGCUAGUCCUUGCGAACAAAUUAAAUUAGUAAUUACAGUUUUAUGCCGAUAUGAUUUAAUCCUAGUAGCCAGUAGGGUUGUGCUUUGAACCGUUGAGGCCAGUAGAGCGAUACUGGUUGCUUCAAUCAUUGCUCGACGCCAUCGUGUGCGUACACCGGUACCUUGCAAGGCGUCAGUCUGUGUGCGGGGGCGAGUACGUAGUAGGGAUAGUGAUCAUAUAUAGGGGACAAAGUGGAUUAAGGUCUUGGCCGUUGAUAGAACAAUAUCGGGCCAGGAGUAAGCCCCCAAGGUGUGUAGAGUGAUGUACUGAUGCGUAACUAGUUAUAGAAGAAUUUAAGCUAAUGCUAGUUAUAGACGAUUUCAACCGGUUAUUAAGUAGUGUAACUAGUUAUAGAAAGCGAUUUGGUGUAACUAGUUACAUAUAACUACAACUAGUUCUGGAAGGUGGACGAAGAUUCUCGCCGGUGAUCAUGAUUAACUAAUUAUUAAAUCGUGUGUCUGUCGCUUAAACUAGUAAUAUUUAUGGUUUGGCCAACCACCACCAUGACUAUGCAGAAGAUAGUCUUGCAGUCACUGAUGCAUAAUAAUAGUAUGCAGUUUACAGCUACCAACUACCAGAGCCAUGGUUUCAGCUUCACACCUUCAAAUUAACAGUACAGAACAACCACACAAACACAGCGGAUAGAUUCAGCCAUCCGCUGAAUAGAUAAACCGUGGAUAAGCAAUCUUUGCCGGUUUCAUGAUGAAUUUGCUGUCACUGCACUUUUCUUUUUAUUAUCUAUACAAUCAAAUCCCCACACCCACAAAACGCCAUUACCCAACGCGUUUUACAUUCAAUUCUCAAUUUAAUGCAUCCAGAAAAAAGAACGAGCCAUUCAUACAGACCCCCCAAAAAAUAUGAAAAUCCAACUGGAAAAUGAAACCCAACUAACCGCCCCUCAACUUUAUGAACAAUUACAGUUUUGCCAUCGUUCAUCUCAAUUCAUCGUUCCUUCAUGAUGGUUCACCUUCGCCAACCCAAUCGACCCUCGCCCGCCGCCCGUCUGCGUUUCCACAACCGUCGCCGACGACAUCUCCAUCUGACAAACCCUAACAGCUCCCAACAACCUCUCCGGCAGCUCCUCUUCCUCCUGCGCCUCCACCACGAACCCCAUGUCGAUCGUCACGCUGGUCACGCACCCCAACGCCAGGUGCAGUAUCGCCGUCGCUAUCGCCGAGCUCCCUAUGUCCACAUCGAUCUCCAAGUAAUUAGGUCCUCUAUGGUAAUUGCACGUCAGCGCUUUCCCCAAAAGGCACGCGCUGUAAUUCCCCACAGUUUUCCUCACGAUCCACGGCCCCUUCACUAUCCGGUUCACGAUCUUGAACCGCUGGUUCCGGUACGCGUCGUCUCCAUUCACGAAUUUGUACAGGUGGCUCUCCGGAGGAAGCGGAUCUUCCGAAGCGAAGUAGAAAACUGCGCUGUGUUGGUCUUUCCCGCCCGGGACCUGGAGGUUCACGGCGAGGAUGAAGCUUUUCUGUGACUCCCCUUCAGACUGAGCCUUCCGUAGGGCCUUGGAAACUCGAUUGUCGGGGCGGCCGAGGACGUUAUCGAGUUUUGUAGCGGAUUUGAGCCAAUCCAUGCCGGCGGGGGAGAGCAGGUAGUCGCCAGCGGGGGAUUUUUUAUUAUUGGUGAAGAAAUUCUUAGAGCGGAGAGAGAAGAGGUUACCGGGAGGUGAAGCCCAGCCGUUUUUUCCGGUUUCGAGGUCGACGUGGCGGAGGGAUCCGCCGUUGAUUGCCUCCGAGAUCCAAUCGGGAGUGGGGGAGUCCUGGAGAUUCUGUCUGGCCGGGGACAUGGUUUUCACUCUCACCUGACUGGGUUUCGUUCUCAAUUAGGAAUUUGGUAAUUUCGUGUUCCGGCGAGUAUUUUGAUCAGGGGGACUGGAGGAGUAGACGGAGGACUCUCUGCAAAGGAGAGAAAGUGAGCCGCUGCACGGUUGGAUGAACUAAUAAGAGGCCAUGGAAACUUUCUGCCCUUAAUAUUCUGAGAAACACGGAAAAGCCAGUAUACAGCUCACCAUCACUUUUUAUGAUUAUCCACCUAUUUUUUUAGAGAAAAUAUACAUAUGCACUUUUGUAUUAUGUGAAAUUCAUAUUGCCAUUUAUUUACUAAAUUUUAAUCAAUUAAAAUUUAACAGGUUAGAUUGAUUAAAAUUUAAUAAAAAAAUAUUGAUAUAAAUUUUGUAUAGUACAAAUAUAUAUUUUCUCUUUAGGUUGAUUGUAUGUUAUUCAUGUUUUCAUACUUGUAUAAUAAUUAUGUAUGCUCUUCUCAAGUGGUUAGCAGAGUUUUUUAUAUUUCGGCAUAGACCUUCCGCAUAUGUGAGGUAUUACUAUAUUUAAAUUUAAAACAUUCAAAUCAAUAGCACAUAACUCUAUCACCUGAACGCAUUCACUGUGACUAACUAACCAGUUGCAACGCAUCCACUUGAACUAACUAACCAGUUGCAACACAUCUGAAAUCUAAAUGACUUUAUUGGGUCACAUCGUUAGCUUUCUGACUAGAAUUUCCAAUUUUCUGUUUAGAUAAUAAAUCCACAGCGACCAUGACACUCACAUUACUUCAACGGCUGGGGUCUCCAAAAGACGCCACCGGCGACGGAGGGUGUUUUUUCUGACCUAAUGAGACAUGACCAAAUGAGACAUUCCAAACUUUUCAUUCAGGUUUGGUAAAGAAAGAGUUACAUCUGAAUACAAUUAAACAAACAAACCAAAAUGGCAACAAAAGUAAGAAACUGAAGGUUAGUGGCUGUAAAUGAUGUUGGAUUUAAGCCGGUCUGAACAUCAACCCAGACUUUUCAAACCUGCCAAUGCCACAUUCUAAAGACUAAGAGGGUCUGUACAACAGGAAUCGCCACAGAGAGCAAGAGGAAGAUCAACAGACAAACAUAAGACUACAACUAAUGAGACACCAGUAACGUGUACAUCUCCAGUCCAGACUGACUGCAACCCGCAUUCCAAGCACCAACUACCUGCAAAUCCAAAAUCCAAAACCAUUGCACUCAGUUUGAUCAGUGGAUUUGUGAAAGACAUAAAUCAUCUCCAACAUCCAAAAGAAGAAAUAUAACAAGAUUUGCAUUGCGUCUUUUGAGCCGUCAUAGUUUCUUUGACAGAUGCAAGGCCCUUUAGACAGACAUAUGUUUGUUCUAUAAGUUUCAAACUCUGCUGGCCAAUUGGUGAAGUGGUGCUGAGUAAGUGAAAGCACAGAGAUGAGCACAUCACAACUCUGUAACUCGCCUUAUAGCUUCGCAUACUGAAUAACUAAAUGCAAGAAUCAAGUACAACUGUGGAAAGAUCUCUCUAGGAAAUGGAUGAGAUUCUAGGUUUUUCUGGUUUACUUCAAGUUGAGAUUCCCCGAAAACAACAAACGAUUUCACAUUAAGCACAUCAUUUUUCGUCACAAUCAUUUGAGUGAUUCUGCAAAAUAGUAGCGGCAACUCCAAGAGAUCACAGCAAGCAGAUGCAAUGAUCAGCCCUAGUUGUUCCGAACUUCUAAGAAUAAGUCAAAACGAAUAUUUAUAAUGAGUAACUACUUAAAUAUACUAAUGAUUCUACUUAAUGUUGGAGGACUAGGAACAGAUACCACACCAUCACACAUUAGUUCAUCCAGGCCGAAGUACUAACUAUAUCAACAAAAUGAACGCCAAAUGGUAGUCCCAUGAAGCAAACAUAAUCCAACCAACACCUCUUCUUUCCACAAACACUAAGUUCCAACAAAACAGACAGUAAUCUCCGUCUUCCUGUGGCAAGAGACGGAUGAAAUAGGUUUCUAUCAUAUUCGCAGAAACGAUUACUACACGAAAGUAAAACCAUCUAUCCUAGCUCAUUUUGCACAAACUAGCUCAGCAAAACAACAAGUGAAACCGGAAUCAGGACAUUGAUCCAUCAAAACAAACAGCAGCGAAAGCUAACCAACCUCAAAGGCGCCUCAAUAUGCCUUUCUUCUCAUUGGCUUCUUAUCAGUGGCGAGUCGGUAAAUCCAGUAAACCUAAAGUCCAAUUCACAGGCAAAGAUAAUCAGAACAAGAUCGAACUAAAACUUCACCUGAACACAUUUUGGAAAGGAAUUUCAGUUCAGGAGGAGAGAUUACCAAAGCAAGGAUAUGAGCUGCUAUUAGCACUACCACGAUGAAAGGCACCAAAUCCAGGAACCACGGUCGCGGCAUUAAGUCCCUAGCCAUUUCUUCUUAGCUGAGGAAUCGCAAGAACAACCAAAGACCAACGAAGUAUCAGCUGACUCGCCGUCGCCCGAUCGGUGAUAACCCCUCAGAAUCAGGGCUUUCCAAAUGACUCGGCAUCCAGCAUCUACAGGCUUCUGCUGUGCGGGGCGAAUCGGAGAUCGGUCACUCACUGGAUUAACAUAUUCGUUUCCAUUAAGGUCUUCAAAUUACUUUUUGUUUCCUUUCAGAUCCUUCAAUGAUAAUUGUCAUCUCAUUCAGGUCACUACUGUUUUUACCGGGGCUGAACUAAACUUGGGCUCACG